GUGAAUGGUUCACCGUUUUGUUAUUGCUGCACUAAAGACGGCGAACCAUUCACCGCCUUUAGUGCAAACAGCCCUCAGUCCAGGACUUAGCCAAAUUUUUUAGGGCUGUGGGGGGAUUUGCACUAAAGGCGGUGAAUGGUUCACCGCCUUUAGUGCAAACAGUAUCAGGUGAUAUAUUUUUUAGCUCGAUUUUAAAAUCAAUUUCAAUAAGUUUGAGACAAGUAUUUUCACGAUAACAAAUAUUCCAACAAGAAACACAACAUCACAAGUGGAAUAACAAGAUACAAUCAAUCGAAUAAAAAUAUCAAACAAAACACAGACAAAUAUACAAAUAUGAUCUAAAUAAAGUAUUAUAUAAUAUUAUACAAAGUAUGCUCUCUAAAUCAAAAAAUAUACAAUCAAUCUCUCGAUCUUCCUCUCCCUCGACGUCCUCGGCCACGUCCUCGGCCACGACCACGUCCACGUCUACGGCCACCCUGUACAUCGAGCUCUACAAUAGGUACGUCAUCAAGUGCUUCGAUACCGGCCAUCUGAUUGAGAUCCGCAAUGAUAAUGCCCUCGGGAUGCUCUGGAAUCGCCUGAGUCUCCUCUGGCUCAGGUCGAUCACCCUCGAUAGUGGCCGCUGUAGAUGUUAGGCGGGCCUGUGAUUAUGACGCGGCAUGAUGUCGAGAGUAGACAAAUCUAAAGUGCUCUCGAGAGACUGGCAGCGGAAGCGAGUCCAAGUCAAAUGGCAAGAAAGGAAAUCUUGAAGGGGCGGCGGGCAUAUCUGCAACAUAAGUAGAUGGAGAUCGUGACACUCGCAGGCUCGAUCUCGAGUAUGAUCCAGUAGAUGUCGGUGACUGUCUCCUGUGAUGACCCGAUGUCGAGGCAUGACCAAAAUUUUGACCUCCGAUAUCAGCGGCAACAAGUAUGGAAGGAAUGUACUCCAGUACUGACUCAAUAUGGGCAUACAUGCCCGUCAAUGUCUCCAGCAUCGCAUCGUAAGAAAGUCGACCACGAACUAGCUGUUCGAUGCUAUACUGAGACUGUCGUAAUGCGUCCACCUGCAUUAUCGAUAAAAACUCACUUUUGGCAAUCUAUAAUAUAUAUAUGAUUAAAAAAAUAAUUAGCAUAUGAGUGAUCGUACCAAAGCUCUUUCGGUCUGGCCCCGAGGCUGGUAAGUCAAUGGUGGAUGCUGUACUGGACGAGAAAUUCAUCUUCUCGUGAUCUGCCAAUACCACUCCAUAUAAAUAGAAGUCGCCUGUACCGGGUCAUCACCGACAAUCGGAUGCUGGUCAAUAAUGGCCUGUAAUUUCUGUCCCCAUCUCUCGAUGUGUGCUGCAUGAAAAUGGGUCCAAUCUUCAUCUGGCCGCCCCUGAGACUUGACGUGACGGAUGGUCUCCACUUGAAUGGGUAUAUGCUGAAGGAGACCAAACUGUCGUAGGACUCGAUCCGGCACGUGAAGCUCAACGAUAUUAAAAGAAAUCAGUGUCGUCCUCGAUCGCUAUACCUCACUGCCCUGUACACAGAAUGCCGGUAGCGCAUCUAUAAUAGCAUCUGUGUACGGCCGCCAUGUAAUCUGUGUAAAAGCCAAUAAUAGUCAGCUUAAUGCAUUAAUACCGUUGUAUAUUAAAAAAAAUGGUAGCAUUAAUACGUACCUGGGACUCUCUCUGCUGAUCUAACUCAUCUCGGUAGAAUUCAAUAUUCGUUGUUCUAACGUUUGUUCCAAAACGUAACCCGCCGGCGUUCGUCCACCUAAUAUUGGAAAAGUAUACGUGUUAGUUGCAAAUGUAUAUAUAGAAAUGUAAUACGUAUCAAAUUUAUAUAUCAUACCGGCAACCCAAAGGGCAAUCAGCCAUGUCGGCAAUAGCUCCAACGCUAGUAGGUCGGCCGACAUGAAGAUGGCCCCACGCCCAAAUCUAUAAAUAAAUGACAAUAAAUUAAACAAGUGAAUUUAAAAAGGAGAAGCUUUAUAUAACAAUUAUUAUAUAUUACUCAUAAUACUUGUACUAAUGUCGCGAAGCAACAGCAUUCGACCUUUACUUUUAAUGCAGCCGAUCCCAAUGCUCGAUAUAGAUAGGCCAGUGCUGCUGCACCCCAGGCUAAACCGCCACAGGCAUCAAAAUCCGCUAUAAGUGGCAGUCACUUAAGGUGAACUCUAUAUCCGGUGGGGUUUGGAAAUAAACUACAGCCAAUCUGAUAUAACAUAUAUGCACGUGUUGUGGCUGCAACUAAUCUAGCCGGGGCAUCCAAAUGUAUAUGAUGAAAGUGCUGGUAUAUCCAAUCUAAUCUAAUCUGCCCAGCUCGGAUGUCAUCCGGCACAACCCCUAAAAGUGCCUGACAUAUCUCUGGCCACGGAUACACUAUAGUCCCCGUGACAGGCGCUCCAGCGAUACGAAGACCAAAAAUAACCGCCACAUCCUGAAGUGUAAUCGUUAUCUCACCGUGGCGGAAGUGAAAUGUCUGGGUCUCCCGUCUCCAUCUCUCGACCAGAGCUCCUAAUAAAGACUGAUCCAGCUGCAGACGCCUAAGUCGAGAGAUAUAAUAGAAUCCAGACUGUUGUAGCAGAUCUAGCACAGCUGGAUGAUCAAGAUCCCACUGGUUUAAUUUGCGGCCAUGCUCUAUGAACUGAACCCCGCGAUAUCCCUACAGUGACAAAAAUUUAGUUAGAACAACAUUUAUAUGCAUUAAUACUUAAGAUAAUUUUUAGAGAAAUAAUUCUUGCUCUCACAUCAGUCGUGAUAAAUGAAGACCUAUGUAGAUGCUGCUCUGUCAGGAUGNAAACAUAGUAUAUAGAUUGUUGGCUUAUAGAUAUAUAAAAAAUGGGCUUUUACAAUUUAACGGUACUAUUAUUAUUUUUAAAUUUAUUUGUAUGACUAUCAUAUAUUCCUUCAUACUUUUUCUUCUAUUCCUUUACAUUCCGUACUAAUUCUCUGAUGGCACGACAAUUUGGAUGUCCAUAGGAAAAUGCAAUAAUAAUUGGCUUUUAAAAGAAAUCUAAUUUGAGUUAGGAAAGAUGAUAGAAUAGAUAAAUAUCUUUAUAUGAUUAGUUAAAUGUGAAUUUGAAGCUCUUUAGUUUUUCUUUCAUUAUUUAUUAUCUUUCAUAAUAUUUUAAAUAUUUUUUAUGUUUUUUAACGUUUUUAUUUGUUUGUUAAAUCUGUAGUCUGUAGAUAUUUAUUAAAGCAUUUCUAUAUACCCGCCGCAUCGCGCGGUCCCUACGCUAGUUAUAUAUAAUGAUUGUUGAACUAUCUGUUGAUUAAUACCAUAAAAUAAUAUAUGAUACAAUGUGUAGUAUAAAAUAUUUAAAUAAUUUAUUAUACUAUGAAAAUUUAUUUUUUAUGCACAUUUAGAGUUGGUUUAUGGUGCACCAGGCGCGUCCAACAUUUUUUUUGAACAUGUUGCAUGCUCCCAUUGGCUUCUCCCUUAAACAGUGACGUGGCUCAGUAUGGAGCCAUUUUUUUGAUGCGAUGGAAGUGCCAAAUUAUGUAUUCUAUAGAAGAUUACAGUUGUGGAGACUUGCACCUUGAUCAUGUGGCCAUAUUUGUUCCUAUUUGAUCUGGUAUUUGAAAUAGCUUAUUUACUCUAGAAAGCAAAAACUUUUAGAAACCAAGCGUUUGCCAAAUGAAAUAUCUGAAGCUUUUGCUUUGGUGGAAAGCUAAAUUUAGCUUUUAUAUUCCAAAAGCAAAACUAAGCUUUUCUUCAAUAGUUUUGUAGCAAGCUUCAACGGCAGGAAGGGGUGCUUUGGGGCUAGUCCAUGGUGAUCUUGUGGCAAAAGGGGAAGGUCUGACGAGAAAGAAAAAAAAAUAAUUAGAAAGUAACCGAAAGAAAAGAUUUUAAUUAGAAAAAGUAACCAAAAGAAAGUAGCAAGAGCAAGGGAUUAAUUCAUGGGCUUUAGAUGCAAGUUACAUGGGUUCUAGAAACACGCAUCCUAAACCCUUCUUUAAUCCCCCUUUAUCUAUUCAAUUUAUGAUUAGUGGCGAUUUUUUUUUUUCCUUGCACUUCUUUGUGUCUGACGGUUCUGUACGAAUCACCAUUCCCACCUGCAGUUCCCUUGCCACCAUCAAAGUUUUGGAUGCCAUUGUUGAAUCCAUAGGCAAAGUGGAAAACCUUGAAAAAGUUCUUGCGGCCAUGUUUCAAUGGUGGCCCCUGACUAGCCUAUUGGUGCAGUUCGGCAAUCUGAACAGGCCCUUCAUAUUCUGUCAUUCAUUUUUGCUGCUUACUUGUUUGGAAUAACUGGACUAUGUAGUUGCUGAGAGAUCUAAGCCGAUUUGAAUGUAAACAUUCUUCUAAACAUGGAAGGAUCCAACUCGCUUAAAUUUUUCUAAGCUUUUCACGAAAUUAUGUAACACUGGUUGUGGCUUCCAUUUUAGGUUUCAACUCGACUCUUCGUCAAGGUAGUGUUACACAUCAUGAAUACCUGCAAGUUGGUAAGGGAAGAGAUGUUGGCCUAAACCAGAUCUCAUUAUUCGAAGCAAAGAUAGCAGAUGGAAAUGGUGAGCAAACCCUGAGUCGCGACAUAUACAGGCUUGGUCACCGUUUUGACUUCUUUAGGAUGCUGUCAUGCUACUUUACCACUGUGGGUUUUUAUUUUAGUACCCUGGUAUGCAGAUUUAUACAAAGUCUCUCAAUCCUUCAUGGGAAUCAGUCUACAAAGUUGCUAGGGGUAAAUCUUAUGCUUUUAACUUGCAGGUGACAGUUCUCACUGUCUAUGUUUUCCUCUAUGGGCGCCUUUAUCUUGUCCUAAGUGGACUAGAAGAAGGCCUUGCAACUGGUAGAAGGUUUAUUCAUAACCAGUCCCUUCAGGUUGCUCUGGCUUCCCAGUCCUUUGUGCAACUUGGCUUUCUGAUGGCCCUCCCAAUGAUGAUGGAAAUUGGCCUAGAAAAAGGGUUCCGCAAAGCCCUAAGUGAAUUCAUACUGAUGCAGCUACAACUAUCAUCCGUAUUCUUCACAUUUUCUCUUGGAACUAAAACCCACUACUAUGGAAGAACCCUACUUCAUGGAGGUGCUGAAUACAGACCCACGGGUCGUGGAUUCGUGGUCUUCCAUGCUAAGUUUGCAGACAACUACAGGCUUUACUCUCGAAGUCAUUUCAUAAAGGGCAUUGAACUAAUGAUUCUGCUAGUUGUCUACCAAAUCUUUGGCCAGUCAUAUAGGUCGACGAUUUCGUACAUUUUCAUCACAAUAUCUAUGUGGUUUAUGGUAGGGGCAUGGCUUUUUGCGCCUUUUCUAUUUAAUCCCUCAGGAUUCGAGUGGCAAAAGAUUGUUGAUGACUGGACUGAUUGGAACAAGUGGAUCACCAACCGUGGCGGGAUUGGUGUGCCUCCAGAAAAAAGCUGGGAGUCAUGGUGGGAGAAGGAGCAUGAACAUCUGAAGUACUCUGGAACACGCGGAAUUUUGGCUGAGAUUGUGUUAUCGCUGCGCUUCUUUAUUUACCAAUAUGGCCUUGUCUAUCACUUAAGCAUAACCAAAAAGACCAAAAGUGUCUUGGUAAUUUUUUUUAUCCGUUAACUUUUCCUUCAGUUAAGCAUUGUGCAAAAUGGAUACCGUCAUCAUUGUUUAUUUCUUUUUCAGGUUUAUGGUAUCUCAUGGCUUGUAAUUUUGGUGGUACUGCUGGUUAUGAAGGUGAGUGGGGUUUUCUUUGUUCAGUUAAAAAAAGAUACUAUAAUCAGGAAGCUCUAGCUGAUUACUUGGAUUUAUUGAUCCUUAUCAUUCACUUUUGCAACUCAUACUUAAUGUUGUUUCUAGUGAACUGAUCUUCUCAUGUGCCUUCCAGUCCUCUCUGGGUUGCGUGUUUAUGAACAAAUGCAGUUUGGUGUUCAUUGGAUUUUUUUUUUUUAAUAUUUAUUAUGUUUUCUAAUUCUCUUUCAAUCUUCUUCUCUCUUAGACUGUGUCUGUCGGGAGGCGGAGAUUCAGCGCAAACUUCCAGCUAGUUUUUCGACUGAUCAAGUUUUUGAUAUUUGUAACAUUUGUUACCAUCUUGAUCACUCUAAUCGCCCUUCCUCACAUGACAGUGCAAGAUAUUCUCGUGUGCUUCCUAGCUUUCUUGCCUACUGGAUGGGGAUUGCUUCUGGUCAGUUUCUUAAGCUUGUUUUUAGUUGCUGCUCACCAUACAUUGAAUGCCAGUUUGACCUAGUUUCACUACUCCAAGAAUAUAAGCUUUCAAAAACCAGCUAACAAAUAAUCUCGAGCUUUUAUUGCAGUGGGAAGUUAAAAUGAGCUUUCGAACCCAAAAUCUGAGACUCCGGUUAGGAGUUUCUGUUUCUGCUGCAGUGAAUAAAAGCUGUAAGAGAGAUUUUGAAAGUAAAAAUAAAAAAAUAAAAAUAACUGCUUCUUCGGAUAACUGUGCACAAAAAAGAUUCUACAAAAGCUCCACCUGCGCCAAAAAGGCCUUCGCCUAGUUAUUCUCUUAUACUGUUCUUAUGUGUUCUUCAGAUAGCUCAGGCUUGUAAGCCUCUAGUUCGACGGGCCGGGCUAUGGGAAUCGUCGGUACGCGCCCUAGCACGUGGCUACGAGAUCAUGAUGGGUUUGCUUCUCUUCACCCCCAUCGCCUUUCUAGCUUGGUUCCCAUUUGUUUCCGAGUUUCAAACUCGCAUGCUGUUUAACCAAGCCUUUAGCAGAGGCCUGCAAAUUUCUCGUAUCCUCGGUGGGCAGAAGAAAGACCGCCCAUCUCGCGCCAAGGAUUGAUCUGGUAUAUUUAUAAGGUGCAUUUCUCCUUUCAAUUCCAGGAUCGUCGGAUUUUGAACCCCCUUUUUUUAUGUAGUACAAUUGUAUAUCUCUUGUAAUUAUAAGAAUGGACUAAAGCUGUUACAAUUCGGACUAAUAUUAUUUCUUCAGGAAAGUUACAUAUGAAAGUAUGUAAAGUAUCUUUUCCGUCACUGCCUAUAAUUUUUUUUUUUUUUUUUUUGGAGAGAGAAAGAUGGUAUGCUAUCCGCUUCGUUUAUUUUUUUUUUAAAAUAAAUUUAGUUGAAAAUAUAAAUCAAGUAGUAUUCAAACUUGGUAUCUUGAAUAUCAACUAUCAAAUUUUUUGCCACUUGCGUUGGGAACAAGUCACUGUCUAUAAAUACUUCUCAAACUCAAACUUGUUUUUCCACAAUCACUGCAAAUUACUCGCACCAACUUACAAAUUCUCUGCAGCUUAUUUGAAUACUAAUGACUAUCAAUAAGCCCGCAAUCUUCUUUCAUGACCGGCCUUUUUGGCUAAAAAAUAUAAAUCCUUCCUUCAGUAUUAUUACCUGGGGAUUGUGCAAAUAUUUCAAAAUAUCCUAAUAAGACCGACCGUCCCUAGAGCAAGUGGUAAAGGACUUGCUGGUUGGUACCCGAGACCUAAGUUCGAAUCCUAGUUGAUUCACAUUUCUAGCUAAGUUUAUUUCUAAAUGAAAUAAACGAAGCGAGUAGCGUGCUACCUAUCUCUCAAAAAAAAAAAAAUCCUAAUAAGUGUAUUACAGAGACGANAAGUUCGAAUCCUAGUUGAUUCACAUUUCUAGCUAAGUUUAUUUCUAAAUGAAAUAAACGAAGCGAGUAGCGUGCUACCUAUCUCUCAAAAAAAAAAAAAUCCUAAUAAGUGUAUUACAGAGACGAAAUUAAUUACUCUAUGAUAAUAGAAAGAAAUAAUAAAAAAAUUUAAUUUAAAAAUCAGAAAAGGCCUGAAACUAGCUAGGUACGGAUUUCUUUCUGAAAAUUUUAAUUUUUUAAGAUAUAAUUGAUCCAAAAUAAGCAAGAGAUAGUUUAGUUUGACAAAUUAAACAAAAAAAUCUAAUAAAAAAUACAGCUAAAAAUUUUUGUUGAACACUUUGAUAAAAUUAUUUCAAAAAAUUUAUUUUCUAUCUAAACUCAAUCAAAUAUCAAAUACUAUUAUUAAUUUUUAACUAAAAUUAAUAAAUUAGGCCAAACUUAAGCUGGUUGGAGGGAUAUCCCGGAAAAGACAGGAUAUCCCUCUUUAUCCUCCCAAACACAAUGCAAAAUGGAACAACAAAGUUGUUCCGGGUUUAAUGGGUUGUUCUAGGAACAACCUAUUAAGCUUGUUUCGCCGAACUGAAGAACAAGCUUGGUAACAACAAUUGUUUUGCUCUUUUUUUUUUCUUUUCUUUUUUUUUAUUAUGCUUUUCUUUUUUAUACUUUAUUUUAAUAAUUUCAUGAAUUAAAUGAAUGCUCAAAUUUAAUAAAUUAAAUAUAUUAAUAUAAAUAGAUUUUUUAUGUAAUAUAUUUAUACUUAAAUUUUAUAUAUAAUAUAAUUAAUUAAAUUUGAUAUAUUUUUUAUUUAAGUUUUAUCAUUUAUAUAUUAAUAUUUAAUAUUUUAUUUUAUAUUACGUAUUAUAUACAUAAAUCAAUUUUUCAUAUAUUAUGUAUAUUUUUUAUUUGUAUUGAAAUUUAUACUAAUUAUUAAUUAAAAUUAUAGGGAUACUGUGUUUAUACUUUAUUUAUUAAUUAUAUUUAUGAAUAAAUUAUAUAAAUAAAUUAUUAAUAAAUAAUAAUUAUUAUAUAUAAUAAAAUAAAAUAUAACUAUUUUAAAUUAGAUUCUUACAUAAAAUAUUUAUAUUAUAAAUUACUAUAUGAAAUAGUUAUAAAUAUUUAUAUAACAUAAUACUAAAUAAAUUAGUUAUUUUAUUUUAAAAUAUGUAUUUAGACAUUGUUUUAGACUUUUUAUCCCAAACGCCUAUUUAAGGAUAUCUUCUAGAAUAUUUUAUUAAUAACCAAACAUAAAUUUAUAAUUGUCUAUCUUGUACGAAAUAUCGCCUAUGUUAUCGAAAAUAAUAAAAAUUAUUUUUCAAAAUUUAGUUCUCCAUCUAAAUACAGCCUUAAAUGAUUCUCGCUUACGUUUAAUUUUUCACCGGGGCUAAUCAAAUAUUUUCUAUCAUCGACCAACAGCUGAUCAGCCAAUAUAUAUAUCUUGGCACCUCACCCUUCAAAUUCGAAUGGUGGCGCUCCGAUCGACUGAUUGUAUAUCCAACUGGUUCCUUACCACAAGUAGUGCUCGACGUUGCGGUACAAUCCGAGUACGAGGUUUUACUAAAACCGGGUCGCUCCUCUCCUCACGCGGUGACGCACCAUACUAAAACCGCUUGCGGUGACGCACAUACCUUAUUCAAAUUCCAACGGCUUCAUUUUACCGUUGUGUCAUACCCCUCCAUACGGCGCCGGGUCCGACACCAGAAAAUUCCUCGGAUUCACGAUCUGUAAAUAGACCCGAGUCGCCAAAUCGUCCCUCCGUUCCACCCCGUCCCUGUUCUAAACUUCUUACUCUUCCGAAUGCGAAGCACGAAGCGGAGGCGGAUCGGAGGAAACCCCGCGGCGCGCUCGGGUCGACGCGUCUUUUUCGGUGAUUUCGUGUGUUCUUCUGUCUUUUCCGUGGAAGGGCCCCAGUUCGUUGUGGCUUUGUAGAGAUUGCUUUAAAUCCUUUUUUUUUUUUUUGGCUUUUGUGGUUCGCGGUAAGAUAGCUCGCGAAUCGGUGUUAUGGUACCGUUGGCUUUUGCGGGAUUCGAUUUAUGGAUUGGUGACGUUAGCUUAGUCGGUUCUCGAGGGUGGUGUUCUUUCGAGAUGUCGCCGGGCGGAGGCGAAUUGCGGAUAUACGGCUGGGUGCGCGCCGGCGCUUCGUGGAGGAGCGGGUGGGCGCCGCGCCACGGCCGCUUCACCUGGUUCACCGGAAUCGGGGGGAUCGUUCAUGCGUGCUUUUGGCGAACAAACGAGCAAAGAGGAGAUUCUCAUAGGCGCGAUGAGAUACAAGACGUGAUCCAGAUACAAGAAUCCGUAGAUCCUCUCCUGAUGUCCUGUUUUUUGCUUCCUCCUCACAUCGUAGUCCCUAUAUGCCAUAGCGGCACCAUGUUGUUCAAGAUAGUCACGAAAGGUUUCAGAUGCAUGUUCUUGAUCUUAUGUUCUACAUGUUCAGUGUCGUUUCUUGCAAUGUAGUGAACGUUGCUAGAUACUAGUGAAUUCCUCCAUGUAAGCAGUCCUGUGGCAAAAUUCUUGAUUUUUUGAUAAAGUGCCUUAUUAUUGCUAUUCAUAUGCAGUAUGAGCAUGCAUAAUUCUCUUGCGGCCAAAAUUAUUUGGAUCCUAAUAGGUGUAAGGCGGAGGUGUCCUGUGUUACAAUCAGACAGGUCUAAGCUCUGGUAUACAGGGUAUUGGUUCUUUUUUCUUUUCUUUCAGAUUCUCUCUUCUCUCUCUCUUCUCUCUCACCUCUCUCUCUCUCUUCAUAGGAUGUUAUAUAAUGAUUCUAAAGAACGAGCGUGCAGAACAUUUUAGAUUUAAUAUCUGCUUCUUUUGCAGCUCUAAAAGACUAUCAGCUGUUUAACUUCUGAGGAGGUUCUUUCUGUUAUUUAAGAUUAUUUUUAAUAAUUAAUUUCACUGUUUGUGAACAAUGGUUUUCAGACAAUAAACUUGCGAAAAGCGAAGGGUGGAUUAUAGAUCGUCAGCCAGAUAUUGCUCGCCUGCAAGAAUUUAUCAAACGUUAUAGAGACAAAAUAAAGAUCGAUGAGUUUGACGAUGAAGGAUGAGAUGAAGUUGACGGAAUCUGCGUGUUCAAGGUAAUCUUGACGGUACGUAGGUGUUUCUUUUAUUCUUGCAGCUUUUGCUUGAUAUUCUGGCCUACUUCAUCAUUUGUCUUGUAACAAAACACCACAUUAACUGCAAUCAAAAACAAAUGUUUUGCAUGCAUAGCAAAUGAUGUUGGAAUUCUGAUCAUGUGUAACCUAAAUUCAAGUUGAAUAUCUCAUCAUUAAGGCAUUUACCGUGUGAAAAUUUUAAAUGGUCUUUCGAUUACACUAAUCAUUCCAAGUUUGAUGUACUUCUUUGCUCAUUUAUAUCACAUGUUAUCAGUUUACGUAGACUGCAGUUUGUUUGAGAAUAAUGUCUGACAAAAAAAGAAAACCCUUCAGUAGUCUACUGCUAAAUAUAUUGGAAUUAAAUAUGAAGUUGCCUGACUCGUAGAUUAUCUAUGUGACAACUGUGACAUCUGCCAAUACUAUAUUAUAUGUAUUAUUUGUGACUAUAGGAUUAUGGCUGUGUUUGCUUGCCUGUAUUUAUCCUACAAAACGACAUAAACUUUGGUCUGCAAUGCUGGUCACUUCCGUUCUUCUAUUGAUUUCUUUUGAGGCCUAUAUUUUAAGUCAAGGUUUUUGUCACAAUUUGCAAUUGCUCAAGAUCUGCGUGUUUCUGCCUCAUCUGGUACUUGUACUAAUGCAACAGGUCUGGCAUGUUCAAUGCCUGUAUAUAAGUGUUUAAGUAUAUGUUUUGGUUGGUCCUUCUGGAAUUGUGAUUCUCUGAAUUUACAGCCUUAGGUUUGAAAAUUUUAGCUCCCGAUUCGCCUCCAUGUAUGCUAUCAGUAUUCUAAUCCGUUGAUUUAGAGAUUUACGUUCCAUAUUAAAGUACUUUUUCUCUUCCCAUUUUAAUGAAAAGAAGGUCUAAUAUCCUUGCUAGGAUGCUAAAUGUAUUGCUUUUGCUGAACAAUCUUAAUAAUAUGAUUAUAUUGAAAAUGUGUAGGUACUCACUUAAUUUUAUCAACUUUUGUAAUCUCCUUUUUGGAAUGCAUUAAUUAGGACAUGGAGUUCUCCAUUUGCGUUAUCUUGGUGUUCCUUUCCAUGUUUCAUUGACUAUAGGGUUUAUGUUACAUGCUUUAACUUUAUUGUUAGUUGUACAUGAGUAUUAUGUUUUUCUUUAAAAACAGGUUGAGAACGCUACAAACUAGAAAAAGAGGAGGAAGAUACUGCAACUCUGAAAGUACUAGGUCUGUCGUAGAGGAGCUAACUAGAGAAAUGCCCCUUGAUGUCAUGCAGAAAAGUUUGCUAUCUUGGUGAGUUAAUGUUCAUUCCUGAUUUAUGAGAAUCUUUUAAUUCAGGCUACACUGUGCACAAUUAAAUACCGUUUUCUUUAGAGAAAAGAAAUAAUAAAUUCAAAAAAACAUAAAAAGAAAUGUCUUUUUUUAUCCUUUUGUAUAUAGUAAAUAUAUGCUGCAAUGAGAGCUAGUUGCUUCCACAGGAAAAAUAAAGUAGGUUGGAGUCUUUGAUGGCAUCCGCUUCGCCGUAGACCAUAAAAUGUUAAUGGCCUUAUAUUUCACUUUGUUAUCUUCGGUGGUAUUUACUUAAUAAAUAAAGUCUGUACUUUUUUAUGCAUAAUUUCAGAUGAAAGAGCCUUAUGGAAAAGGAUGCUGCAAUGGACACAAGAAUGUAGUGUUUAUACAUUAUUCCAUUGGGAUUCACCGUUCUAUUAACAAAUGCCCAUCGCUUCGUUUCAGAGACAGUAGUGAUUACUUUUGGUUUUUAACAUAUUUUUUAAGAUAAUUCUUAUGUAAUUUAUUAUUCAAUCAAUGUUAGGUCAGGACGGCCGGUUUCAGUUUGCAGUACUAUAGGGGGCUUCCGUAAAGCUGAAUGCCUAGUAAUUUUCCUAUUCCUGUUUGCGAGGAAUUGCUGAUUGCUGAUUUUUGCAAUUAUGUAUUCGUGGUUCAGGUUUGCCAUUUCAAUGUUGUGAUGCUUAUGAUAAUGCUGCAGUUUGUUGUUGAAAAGUUAACGAUAUGCGUCAUAAGUUAGUAUCAGUUGAUUGACUUGUUAAUCGUAGUGAGAUAGAUGUUCUUAUAUAUUUUUAUUUGAAUAUGGUGCUGAUAGUAGUUGCUUUCAUUUCAAAGUCAGACGGUUGCUGCCUGAUCUGCAAUUUUCUUGAAAUUUUUUUCGUUUACUGCCUUUUUCAAGUUGGAAUGUUUAAUUAGUAGCCUAAGCUCGUCAUUUACAUUUGCCUGAGAAUACUUUCUUUAUCUGAAAUUUUCCGGCAUAGCUGUAGGCUAGUUUUAAUCACUGGCACAUGGACAAGUCUAGUGAGACUUUAAGAAAAAAAAAAGACCAGGACUUUUUGGGGUUGGUUUGGCAGCGUGGUAGGUGUCUGUGGUGUUAUUUGAUGAAGCUGCCUGAAGUAGCUGACUGUCAGAGAAGUAGAUUAUCAUCCCUUGCUAGUCUUUUAUUGCUGGCAGACUCGAGAAACAACUAAUUUGGAAUCUUUUUCCUUUUGAGUCUCGGAUCUUCAUUUCUUGUCCUUUCUCUGUGCAUCAAACACUUAUUGCUCUGUGUAAAGUAGGGUGUUCUAGUUGCUGCUGAUACGAUGCAUAUUAUGGCCUUGCUACUUUUGUUUGGUCCCACUAGUAAAGUGAUGGCUUUCUACAUGCUCUGCUCUUACCUACUGUAUCAUUUAUUUGCCAAUCUCUUGCAAAGUUAUUUGUUUUUCUUGAUGAUGCCUGGAAAUGCUGCGUGUAUCCUCUCAAAAUCUGCUUCAUCUUCUAUAUAUAUCAGCAACUCCUUUUUUUUUCGUUUUAUAUCUUGUUGUAUGGCUUCUCAAUUAUCUGCAAUCUCUUUACAAUUCGUUCCCCUGUGUUGCCCCUCUCUCUUCCUCUCCUUUCUCUAUCUCUUUGCGCUUUCCCACCUCUUCCCCCUCUCUUUGAUGGGUGGUUUUUCGUUUUUUUGUCCAGAAUUGCAACAUCCCCCCCUCUAUUUUUUUAUUGGCUACAAUAUUUUGGGCUCUUCAGCUCCUUGGCCUUAGCCUUUUUGCCUUCUAAAUGUUUACCUUCUCUUUGGUGUUUAAUCUGAACUUUUUCGUUUGACACCUUACUCUUAUGACCGUACUAUGGAAUCUUAUUGCGAUUUCAGGCGUGUUGCUAAUAUUUUAUGAUGGUGAAUUUAUGGGAGGCGUAACUAAUCUUGCUUUUAGUGCUAAUUUAUAGAACUGUUAUUGUUUUUGAAGAAAGCCUUUUCUUUCGGCGCAACUUCAUAUCUGGUUUGAUUAUAAAUGUAUCAUUGAAAGUAGAUUUUAUUUUUCUUGGACUCUUCUUUGAAAAAUGAAUUGCCUUUCGUCUUCUAGCUUUUUGUACCAGUGCAAAGUAGAAACUUCUCGUUAUAGAGAGGUGCAGUUCAUUUGUUUUUCACAAAAUGGGUGGGAGAAAUGCCUUAAAAGAAUUCAGCAACUUAAAGUUGAAAGAUUAUCUCAGUAUUGUAGCCUAAAUUAUUUUGCCUGAAAACAGUAGAUGUAUAUUGUGUAUGUGAUAUGAUAUUCUAAAGUUUAUGUUAAGUUCAGUGCCUAGAUGAAAUUUACUUAUCUGUGACGAAUUCAUUUUGUUGUAAACUAGGAUUUUUGUCAUUGAACAUUUAAGAACAUUUCAUAGUUGUUACGUUUUGGCAUAUUAUGGAUUUCAGGGAAUUUCGAACAUUUUUGUUUUCAAUCAAAGUAUUAAACAUUAGCGUUAUACUCAUUGCAGUAGAAUUUUCGAAGUUGCGUGAUUGUGCUUGUAUUAAUAAUAGCGAAUCCUUACCAAAAUCUUACAUUUAUUUUCUUUCAGUUUUAUGGGCAGAAAGUAAUGUUGGUAACCAAAGCUGAACUGUAGUUCACCUUCUUGCAUAUGAACGAGUCGUCGAUUGGCAAAGUUCUAGGGAUUGCGGAUAAUGUAACCUCAUAUUGUUUCUGCUACUUACUACAAAGAAGACACAAUUUCGUUGUUUAUUUUGUCUCUUUUCGGUAAUACUUGGAUCAAAUGUUUGCAAGAGUAAAUUUCAACUAUCAAUAUUUCUGUGCUUGAACCACGAUAUAUCUACUUUUACUUCUUAUUUUGUACUUAUGCACUGAGUGACAUUAUCCUUAUGUGUAUGCCUCCAUGCCAAGUAGAGAAGUCUUUUCUUAAUGCCCCUCAUUUGGUGAGUAUAGAUAUGAUAAUUAAUUUCAUCCAUACAUUUGCAUUCUCAAAUUUGAAAAGUGCCGCAUUUACCCUCUUUUUUUUUUUUUCUUCUGUACGUGAGCAUUAUUUUUGUUUCAGUAGACAUAAUUUGCUAGCUACCUUUUUACUUUAUCUUUCAUCAUUGAAAAAGAUAUUCUUCCUCAUUUUUCAUUUGGAGUUUGUGAUGAACAUGUUUUCUCAGGGAUGGUCAUGAAUAUUGAAUUAUAGGUAAGCUGCCAAUUAGACGACACCAAUGUUGGUAACUUACAAAUAGAAUUUGAUUAUGGUUGGCGAAUAAUAUGUCAUCAAGGAAACGAGUUAUGACGAUACGUUUGAAUUGUACCAUUAAUCUUCAUAUGCUGAGUAAAUCACAUGGGAACACGCCUCUGUAAUCCUGCCUAAGAAAUGGCAGGUUGUUGAUUAAGGUGCGUAUGGUCUUGGUUGGAAUUUGACCGUAUUAUUAACACAAUAGUUAUGUCACUUCUGUUGGUGGUGCACUCCAAUGAAUCUGAAAACUGUAGAUGUCAGCCUUUCACGGUGGUGUUAAAGAAAAAUUAGAAAUUAUAUUGUGGGUUUAUGAACUUUUGACUUUUCAAGAUUGAAGAUUGGUUUGAAAAGGUAGUAGGCAGUAUAUUAUGUAUUACCGCGUAACCGGGACACUUUCGUCUGCAAAGAGGCCAAAUAUGAGCAAUUGGUGCAUCAGGUAACUUUCUAUCAGCGCGAUUCGGGUGAUAAGGCUCAAACAUAUUCUAAUAUCUUGUGAGGAAAUGUUAAUUUUCUUAAGAUAUGAAGACAUUAUUGUUAGGAUAUGGAGAAGAUAAGAGAGUCAUUCAAACAGGUUGGAAUACUUAUCACUUAUCAUGAGUAUUUAUAUCUGAUUCUCCUUCGAAUUCUUGGACAUAUCCAUUUGAUAACAUCUUUAAGUUAAAUUUAUCUUGAAAUGAACCUUUAGAUUUACCAGGACCAAGGGUAGUCUGUUUCCUCAAUUGCCUUGAGAUAUUACGAUGUGUCAUUUGAACGCUCAUUAUUACCGACGCGAGUGUGGUAGGCCACGGCCGUUUAACAAUCCAUGUUGCAAUGAAUAAUUUGACUUGCUAUUCAGGCAUUUGCGGCUGUUCAAGACUUGAUGCCUUAAAGGAUAUCGUGAUGGUUUAUAUAUCUUAUGAGGGGGUCAAGCAUUCCAAAUACAUACUGUUAUUGGCAUUUGAGCAAAUGACAAUAUAUUAUGUGUUUGCUUUGGCAUUUGCGCUAGAGAGUUGGCGAUGCCUUCUUACUACUUAGCUGCUUAUGUCUUUGCGCAAAUCUGAGAAACAAUCUGCGAAGUUAUUUUUUUUUUUUCUAUCAUUUUUUGGCGCCCACCCUGAUUUUUUUGCUUGUUUGAUUAAUUGAAAUUACUUCAAAUUGAAAUAGCGGUUUUUUUUUGUGAGUGUGGUUAAGAUAAUUUCCUUUCAGUCCUUUCAUAAUAUGGUGGAUUUUCAAACAUGCUUCAAUUAUGGGCUUUUUUCUUGUCGUUUUUGGCAGGGGGGAAAAACAUUGAUUGAGGGUCGCCUGUGCAUAUUGUAUUCUCAAGUCGCUUGCACUUAAUAAAGUGGUGCAACUAUUUGCCGUGUCGCCCGGUGUUGGAAUAAGAGUAUAUAUUUUUUUCAUAGAUCAAGCUGCAUGUGCAGGUUAAUAUUUUCUUAGAAUGCUUUGUGUUUUCUCUAGUAUAUUUGCAUUGCUCCCUGGCCAGCACGGGUUAUGAGCGAAAGAAAAGAAAUUGUUGACUUCUCGUAUGGGGGAGGCUGCCAAUGUUCGAUUUUCUUCCUGAGGGCUUUUAUGUUAUCAAUAUUUAUCAUGCUAAGUAAUUUUAAUAUAUAUGUUCUACGUAUCAUUCUUCAAUUUUUUUUUAAUGUGCUGUAAAAUUUUGUUCGACGAUGAUAUUAUUCUUCUUAUCAUAUACUACUUUAAUUACAUUUUUAGUUGCUGUAGUUGGUAAUUUGUUCCUCACCUGAUAUCGGUCUGAUUUCUUGAUAUCACAAUUUUGAUUUCUGGUUCAAAAUAGUUAUGUGUUGCACUGGUACAAUGAUAGGAUACACAGUUAGAUGGCCAAUUCAUGGAGGAGUUGAUGGCCUGAUGCUGAAUUGACUUGUUUGAUAUUAUCUAAAUUAAAAAGGCUUACAUAUGUAGACAUAAUUCUUUAACGGUAACAGACAAGUGAUAUAAUAUACCCUCUUUUGGUAUGAUAAUGUAAGUAAUACUGAAUGUCCUCAUGCUUGCAUUUAAAGUGAAGAUGAAUCUGUCGUUAUAAUUUAACAUGCAUUAUUCUUUUCUAUUCAGAUGGCAAGAGAGAUGGAGGAGAUUUUGCGUCAGCAAACUGCACAACCGGCUAGUAGUUGUGUUUCUGAAAAUGGCGUUUCAUUUCUUGACCAAGUUAUUUCUCCUUUAUAUGAAGUCAUAGCAGCUGUAAGCUCUUUUCCUGUAGUUCUUACAUCAUGUAAUUUCUUGUAACUUGCAAGGGUUAUGAUUUAGUCUUGUGAUUCCUCUCUCAACAAAUAAUAUUGGUUUCUGUGUCGGCCUGGAAAUGAUACUAUAGGGAGCAUGAGAUGGGAUAUUUGCAUCAUGUGUUGUUGUUUGGUAUUUUUUUUUUCUUUUUUUGAUAAAUUUGAUUCAUUAUAUCAUGCUUUGGCAAUCUAGAUGAGCAAUUUUGAAUUAAUUCUUGGUGCUUCGUCUUCUUGGCAUACUGCUUAGUGCUUUACUAGUGAAAUACCCGCGCGAUGCUGCGGAUAUAAAACUAUUUUUAUAAUAAAUUUUAGUUUUUUAAUAUUUUUAUAUAGUUUAUAAAUCUAAUUAUUAAUUAAAUAAAAUUUAUAUAAAAAUAAUUUAAUAGUUACAUCUAUUUAAAUAAAAGUCAUUAAAAUUGGUAUAUGCCCAAAGUUAAUUUAUAAAACAAUUUAUUUUAUAAAAAAUUAUAUGAAAAGGAUUUGAGAUAAAACUAUCAAAAUAAUUUUUAAAAAAUCAAUAAAUAGAUGGAAAAUAAAAUUGUAGAAGUAUUGUUUAAUAAAAUUAAUUAUACACAUACAUACACUAUAUUUAUAAAAUUUUACUCCUCAAACUUAAAUUUCAUAUUUUUUUUAUAUAAUGAAAUUUUACGUGAUUUAAAUUUCAUCUAUCAAAUUAGAUAUUAUUAUGCAAUUUAUUAUGUGCAUUAUUAAUAAAAUUAAUUAAUUAUAUUAUAUAUAACUAAUUAUUAAUAUAAUUAAUUAAUUAAUUAAUUAAUUUCAUAGCGUUUAGAGAUUUAAAAUUUUAAACUUUGAAGCUUAAAAUUUAGAAAUAAAUAUUAUAAGUAAAAAUUAAUAUUUAAAAUUUAAAUAUAAAAUAUAAAAUUAGAAAUUUAAAACUUUAGAAUAUGAAAGUAUCAAAAUUUUAAAUUUUGAUAUAAAAAAUUUAAAAGUAUAUAUAUUUAUUUAUAUUUAUAUAUUAUUAUAUAUAUAGAGGGAGAGAGAAAGGGGGUUUGGGGGGACACGUGUCACCCUAUGGAGAAAGGGGGUUUGGGGGGACACGUGUCACCCUAUGGUUCCCCAAAAGCCGGUUGGGUCGGAAGAUAUCCGGUUUCAUUCGGAUUCGAAUUCGGGUUCGGGUAAAAUUUAGGAUAUCCGUACCCAUUAACGUCCCAAUUCUCCGCUCCCUCACUGGCGGCACAGCUCCUCGUCACCUCGUCCCCUCAUACCCUCGUCUUCCUCCCUCCCCUUCCCCUUCCCCAUCCCGAUCCCCAUCCCCAAACUCUUCAUUCCUCCUCGCUCCCGAUGUGGCGUCGCCGCCUCUUCGGCCCCGUCACCACCGCCGCUCUUCAUUCCUCCUCGCUCCCGAUGUGGCGUCGCCGCCUCUUAGGCACCGUCACCACCGCCGCGUCACCUCGUCGAACCUUUAGUCUUCUGGCCUGCGCUUGCCGCACCGCACCUCGCUCCGGCCUUCCCGCGUUCACGGUUCCCGGGCGCCUGCUCCUCCGCCCAGCAGUUGCUAUGGGGCAGUCUGGUGAUUGCGGCUCGAGAUCAGGCCCAAAUUCUUCUUCGCCUUGGCCAGGACAUGAAGUGUCCCGCUCCAUGGAACCGGGAGAUCGGUGCACAGGCUGCGGGUUAACUCGUUUCACGGAAUAUGGGCCUGGCCAUAGAUAGCAUAAGGGCUUCCGGAGUGUAAGAAUUUCCUUGAUGUUGAUUGCCACAUCAGUGCUGUUCCAGAAAACCGAUGCUGACGGCUGCGAUGGUCAUGAUCGCAUGAGUUCGAAGGACGGCGCUGGCCGUGGAGGGCUUUUGAUGCGGCCGAGGAUAGAGUGACGCAUUGAUGCAGUCCUCACCUCACACAGAAACGUGCGGACAGGGGUUGGAACGCUUGAAAUGAUAAUAUAUUGCAAGCUCCAGCUGAAAACAAGUCCCCCGGAGAAUUUAUAUCAACGGGAACCCGCCUGCGCGAUUUUAGUUCUGCAUCGGAGUGAUGAAACUUUGGGAGACAUCGAACCGGUGCUCCUCGCGUGAUGGGUCUUCGUUUAUCACAGAAGUCCUUCUCUCGAGAAUGAGCAUUUCGCUAUGUCGAUAAUUUAAGUCUAUAAUAAACAUGAAGUUCAAAUUCUUAACACAAAAGAUAUAAUAGGAAACUCAUUGGACAGGGCAUUUUUAUUGAUAGGCUUACUAUCAGCAAUGCUCGUAAGUUUGUGGACCAUCUUGAAAAACUGGUUGGAGCUUGCAAUGCCUAGAGACAGCAGCUAGCAAUCUGUGAACAAUAACAUCUGCCAGAAAAAACAGCCACAUUAGCGUCUAAUAUCUAUGACUACCUUUAUUGCUAUUCUCCUGUUUUUAAAUAGGGAUGAAAAUAUGAAUUAAAUCAUUUUAAUCCAUGGAUACUCUCAUCAGGUAGUUUCAAUAAUUGUGGUAGCAUGAAAGCCCGCUAAUGAAGUGGUUUGUAUUUGCAUCAUCAUGGAUAAAUUGGCUAACAUAUAAACUAAUGCUUUUUGCAUCUCAAAAUAAUCAUUAGUAAAUUAUGGUAAUCCUUUUGAAGCCAUAUUAGGUGAGAUAACAAAGAAUAGGUUGAUUGAAUCACAAGGAGUAUUGCAAAAUAUGUUGUGUUGCCUCUCCGAAAUUAGCCAUUCUAAAGACUAAAGAGGAGAAUUCUCACUCUGUUAAGUAGCAAUAACUAACCUGCAUAUCUGCACGAAUAGAGGAGUAAAAUGAGACCGGCCACAGCUCCUCGUCACCUCGUCCACUCAUACCCUCGUUUGCCUUCCUCCCUUCCUUCCAUUCCCCAUCCCCAAACUCUUCAUUCCUCCUCGCUCCCGAUGUGGCGUCGCCGCCUCUUCGGCCCCGUCACCACCGCCGCUCUUCAUUCCUCCUCGCUCCCGAUGUGGCGUCGCCGCCUCUUAGGCACCGCCGCGGCGGCCUUGGAUGGGGAAUACGAGGGACUCCUUUCCAUUCUCGAGGAGAAGAGGACUGUCUUUAUAAACGGACCCAUCACGGAGGACACCGCGUUCGAUGUGCUGCUCAAGUUCAUCAGUCUCGCGAGAACUAAUAAUGCGCAGCGGGUUCAUCUGUUGAUAAAUUCUCCGGGGGGACUUGUUUCAGCUGGACUUGCAAUAUAUGAUAUCAUUCAAAGCGUUCCAACCCCUGUCGCCACGUUAUGUGUGGGUGAGGCUGCAUCAAUGGCGUCACUCAUCCUCGCCGCAGGCGCUCCCGGCCAGCGCCGUGCCUUGCCGAACUCUCGGAUCAUGAUCCAUCAGCCGUCAGGCGGUUUUCUGGGACAGGCGACUGAUGUGGCAAUUCACAAUCAAGAAAUUCUUAGACUCCGGAAGCGCCUUUAUGCUAUCUAUGCCAGGCACACCCGGCAGCCUGUGCACCGGAUCUCCCGCUUCAUGGAGCGGGACACAUUCAUGUCUCCUGCAGAGGCGAAGAAAUUUGGGCUGAUCGACGAAAUCAUCCAGAGCUGCCCCAUAGCAACUGCUGGCGGAGGAGGCGGCGGCGGCGGGAAGCCUGAGACGGAGGAAGGAGGUGGCGGUGGCGGCAAGCGCGAGGCAGAAGACUAAAGGUUCGAUAGUUUCUUAAUUCAUAAAUACAUUUAGAUCAAUUGCUUUUUAAUACAAUCUAGAUAGAUGCAUGAAGAGAAUGACAUACUUUUUAAUACAAUUUAGACAGAUGUAUGAAGAGAAUGAGAAUAUAUUUUGGAAUAAUUAGGUUGUUACUGGUCUUCUGAUUUUCAGCUAUGGUUGGUUUAUUCAUCUUUGCUCCUGAAAUUGGGAGCACAGAGGAAUAACCUAAUAGUUAACUAUUAGUUGAUGAUUUAAUAGGUUACCUUUUCCUGAAGUAUAUAAGCGUGUGGAGCUCAACCGAUGCUUGGCUUGCCAUUUGGGCAUUUCGGUGUCGAUAAUUUAAGUCUAUAAUAAACAUGAAGUUCAAAUUCUUAACACACAAAAGAUAUAAUAGGAAACUCAUUGGACAGGGCAUUUNAUCAAAUGAAACCUAAAGCAACGUAGAAUAAAAUCGUCCCUAGAACGUUCAGAUGUCUAGAUUGCCUUCAAUGGUGUCAAUCAUCAAUUCGGAUAUUCUAUCAUCAAAAGGUAUUUGAUAGUAGCAGAGCCCAAAUACUCUUACUCCUUGUACUAUCCCAAUAUUGCAACUUAAUCCUAGCCAUCUCACUUGGAAACUUUAGUCCCUGAAAAUCUCACAUGUUUUGAAUUUUCGCUGUCGAAGGCACAUUAAACCCCACCUAAAUUAGCAAAAGAGAGUGAGUUAUCUUAUAGAAGAAGGGAUAAAAGAUCAUCUUGUAAGAUAACUUAGAUCUUUUUUGACAGUCAAGGACUUAGAGAGUGAGUAAUAACUGCAUGUUUCUGUUUGAGUCCACAUUAAACAAAGUCCAGUGAUUUUCUUUUCUUUUUUUUCUGUUUGAUUACCACAUUGGACAAAGUUCUUCCAAUUUUUUUGCAGGGAUGUAUCAAAUUAGAGAGGCAAAUCAAAUGACUGAGGAAUUUAUGCUGGCUGCCAAUGUUGCUGUUGCAGAAAAGAUCUUGAAACAUUUUCCAUUGGUCUCCUUACUAAGGUGAACCGAGAACAUCCUUCUGGCUAUAGAUUCUUGAUGUCAGAUUAGGGAAAAAUCAUUGUGGACUUUUCCCCUCCAAAUAUUGAUGCCAACUACAGAGUAUGACUAGAUAGUUAAGAAUUAGGAAGAUCAAGAGGGUUAUUACGAAUUGAUGAUGUUCAGCUGCCAAUUACCUGCCUCUAGAUGAAGGCGACUUAAAAAAAAGAAAUCUUAUGCUAGAGGUUGUUUUGCCAAUUCACUAGUUAAAAUAUGAAGCACAAUUCUCUAUCCGGUUAAGGGUUUGUACAAAAUAUAGGAUCUGCAUGAUUGCAAUGAUAUAUUUGAGAUUUUGCGAUGAAAUUUCAAAUCAUCAGACCCGCAUUUAGUCAAUACUUUCUGCACCCACUUUCAUGGUUUUCAACUAUUGAACCUAUGUUGCAUUUUGAUGAUGAUUAGGCGGCAUCCCAGCCCCACCAAAGAGAUGCUUGAACCAUUAUUACGUACUGCAACUGCUGUCAGCCUGGAUUUGGAUGUAUCAUCUUCUAAAGCAUUAGCUGAUUCACUUGAUCGAGCAGUGGUAUGUAUACAUUUUAUCCACUAGUUUGCAAUAAUAUUUUUAGCUUGGCUGUUUUCUUACUAAUUAUUAGGUAAUAGGAUAUGUUGUGCAUUAACUGCAAUUUUUUGCAAGCAAUGGCAUUUAGUUUACAGAAUUUACUCUAAACUAGUGAUUAAUUGCUAAAAAUGUGCAGAGUGAUGAUCCGUAUUUCAAUAAGCUGAUCAGGAUUCUGGCAACUAGAUGCAUGACCCAGGUAAAUCUAUUUAGACACUUGGUUGCUAAAUUUUUGGAUUUUGAGUACAGAGUUUUCAACGUUUGACCUAAUAAUUGAAAAAUCACAGGCAGUAUACUUCUGCAGUGGAGAUUUAAGCCCUUCUGAAUUUUACCAUUAUGGGCUUGCAGCACCUCUCUAUACUCAUUUUACUUCUCCUAUUCGCAGAUAUGCAGGUUAGUUAUUGCUACUUUAACAGAGUGAGAAUCUCUCCUCUUAGUCUUUAUGAAUGGCUAAUUUCGGAGAGGCAACACAACAGAUUUUGCAAUACUCCUUUGUGAUUGCAAUCAACCUAUUCUUUUUGUUAUCUCACCUAAUAUGGCUUCAAAAGGAUUACCNUUGGAAGAACUUUGUCCAAUGUGGUAAUCAAACAGAAAAAAAAGAAAAGAAAAUCACUGGACUUUGUUUAAUGUGGACUCAAACAGAAACAUGCAGUUAUUACUCACUCUCUAAGUCCUUGACUGUCAAAAAAGAUCUAAGUUAUCUUACAAGAUGAUCUUUUAUCCCUUCUUCUAUAAGAUAACUCACUCUCUUUUGCUAAUUUAGGUGGGGUUUAAUGUGCCUUCGACAGCGAAAAUUCAAAACAUGUGAGAUUUUCAGGGACUAAAGUUUCCAAGUGAGAUGGCUAGGAUUAAGUUGCAAUAUUGGGAUAGUACAAGGAGUAAGAGUAUUUGGGCUCUGCUACUAUCAAAUAUCUUUUGAUGAUAGAAUAUCCGAAUUGAUGAUUGACACCAUUGAAGGCAAUCUAGACAUCUGAACGUUCUAGGGACGAUUUUAUUCUACGUUGCUUUAGGUUUCAUUUGAUUGCUAAAAAUUGUCCAGCUUUGUUUGAAUUUAAUAGUUUCUGUUAAAAGAAUUAUAGAGAAUUUCACCAAAUAACAAAAUAGUCUAUUAGGCAACAGGUUGCUUUGCCAAAUUAGUUAUAAAUACCGAUAGAACAUGUAUAAACCAUGUACAAAUUGUAAGUUUAGAUAAUAAAUUUAUCAAACAUUGUGAAGUUCGCGUAUCUGUUUUGUUAGUGCUACACAGUUUGGGGGUGGUUCUUUUUCUUUUUUUUUUUGAUGUUAUCUAUUGUUUGAUUGAUUGAUGGAAAUGCAUGCACCCGGGAGCUCCAACGUCGAACUCGGUCUCUUCGCCCGAGUGAUUGUUGGCGUAGGCAGCGAGAUCACCACAUCUUUUUCGUCCAGAUAGCUAAAUCUUAUUGUCCAACCCUCAAAUCCCCAAUUCUCACUAAAUUUGCACCUCUCACUAAAUUUGCACCUAACUUGCGUGAGUUUUUAGAUUUUCUUUGAUAAUUUAGUGCUUAAUUUAGGGUGGUUAUCAUUUUUGCAAUAAUUAGAGUGGUUUUUAUGCNNNNNNNNNNNNNNNNNNNNNNNNNNNNNNNNNNNNNNNNNNNNNNNNNNNNNNNNNNNNNNNNNNNNNNNNNNNNNNNNNNNNNNNNNNNNNNNNNNNNAGAGAUAAAAAUAAAAAGUUGAACUUUGUAGGGAUAUAUUUGCUAUUCAAUAUGUUUUCAGGGAGCUGUAUGUAGUUGCCGUUUGCACAAAUGAGGAAAGUUAGAAGGAGAGCUUGCUAAACUAUGAAAUUUUAAUUCAGAGAGCUAUGUAAAAGAACAAAAUAGAUAGAAAUAGGAGAAGAGGAAAUUGAAUUCAUGUUGUGCAUGAGACUCGUGAGAUAAUAGCAAUCAGUACUCAGAAAGCGACCAUUCAGAAAAUUGGAAGUAGCUUGGAUUUUUUUUUUUUUUUUUGAGAGACAGGUAGCACGCUACCCAUUUCGUUUAUUUUAUUUAGAAAUAAACUUAGCUAGAAAUGUGAAUCAACUAAGAUUCGAACUUGGGUCUCGGAUACCAACCACCAAGCCCUUUGCCACUUGCUCUAGGGACGGUCGGUGAGUAGCUUGGAUUAUUAAUGUUUAAAGUAUAAGACUUGGCUCUUAAUAACAAAACAAUGGAGGUAAGAGUAUAGGACUUGGGUCUUAAUAAGAAAACAAUGGUGCGAAAGGACUUCAGAAGCUGAAUUGUAAUUUUUGUAAUUGAAAAAUUAAAAAGAAAACAGCAUAAUAUUACAUGGUUGUAUGUGGGUGUUGAUGAGGACUGAUCUGCACUGAUAAAGCUUGCAAAUUAGUUGGGAACCCUGGUUGGAUGAUAGAGAGACCUGCCCUUUUUCACUAUAAAAGGAGCUUGGACACAUUUUUAUCUUCUUGUAUUUUAUUUUCCCAUCUGGUCCAAAAGCAGGAGCACUUUAAACAGCUAUUUAAAGGCAUGCAUUCAGAUCCCAAGUUCUCACCAACUUUCAACUCGUUAACUCCUCCAAUUGGCAUGGAGUAUUUCCGGCAAGAGCAUCUCCAUGGGUCUUGAAAGCAGAAACUGGCUUUUUCACUUUUGUAUUUUUGUUUUUGAAAUACUAUCCUCGCCACUAAACUAAUCAGUUCAUCGUGGCAGUUUGCUUCGGCGAACACUCUGGAGCUUUGCCCGAUACAUGACGGACCGGCAAGUCACAACUCUGGCAAUGGUGAACUCCUAUUGAUUCACACUCUCUCACUUUUACUUUUCCAGCUGUUCUGUGGAGAAAGGAAUAAAUUAACACCGCUUUCAGUAGUCCUAGACCUUUUAUUUGGACUGGCUUCAGGAGAGAUCAAAGGGUCUCAAUUUGUGUAGCAGCAAUAUAAGUUCCCUACGUGUGUUUGCAUAAAUGGUUUGGCAAAAAGCAUACAAAUCGUUUUUGCUGAAGGCAAUCUCCUCUUUCAGCCAUGUUACAAGUUGUAAACACUUGGAUAUUCUCUAGCUCAUUAGCACAAAUGACACCUUCAAUAGCUCAAGUACCAACCAAUUAGGAUGGAACCUAAAGUGUUUAGGCAAAUUUCUGGGUAGGAAUCUACAAAAGAACAGACUAAUCACUUCUCGGAGCAAAAGAGGAGUCAAAUAUUACACUUCUUAGAAGAGAAGAAUAUAGGAGCUUGUUCUAUGAAUCAGGUACGCCUAGCAAGCACCAGUGGUUGCAGUCUUGGGACUUCUCAGCCGCAAUCUGCUCUUGUACUGUGCUAUUUUUCAUUCUAUGUAUCGAAGGGUGCCCAUCCUUCCUAUAAUCUGAGCCUGCUGAUAUUGAGGUAUAUUACUGGGGUUUUCAUCUGUUUUAGAAUUUGCUCCAACGAUCUCAUCUUUGAAGGGUAAUGAACUAGGCACAAUUGGUUGAAGAUUAAUUGGCUCGGUUUCCUUAUGGCAUUGUCCUCCCGAGUUCCAUCGCCCGCCCCUGCAACCAAAGAAGAAGUUUCAGUUCCCAUGACACAAAGCAAUUUGAUGGAAGGUUAACUUGCUAUUUGCUUUUAGUAGUCCCAUAGCUCAAAGCUGCUACCAAUCCCAGAAGAUGCUCUGCCUUUUUACUGGGACAGAGCCUGACUCCAGGUGUCCACUAUUUAGUCUGAACUGAAUUACCAAACUGAACUGAGUCGCUUCAGUUGACUCAUAAUGGCCGCCGGAUAAACAGAAUAAAACUAAACUGAUGGAAUAUAUCAAGAACAUAAUACAAUAUAUUUGUAAUAUGAUGAUCAGACAAUUUUGAUGCUUAACCACAAAUAGAAAUGAAUGAAUGACAUUAUGAAUAAUAAUAUAUGAUCAACAAGUAUAUAAAUUUCUACUAUAUACAAAUAAAUACAUUCAUACUUAUGCCUCUAUUCAUGCGAUAAUGAAAUUCAUACAUGCAAGUUAUGUCAUUUCUACUUACUAUUUCAUUAUCCUAAUCACGUGUCAUCCGACUUCAAGCAUGAGUCAAUUGGUAGCGGAUACACCGCUUUCAUCUUGGCAUUAGGUGGCGAAAUUGUCGCCCACCCGCCGCCAUAAGUCCAUAGCUAGUGAAGUCGCCUCUUUAUAUUGGCAUUAGAUGGCAUGUGCCCCACACCCCCGACCAUAGAAUUAUAGAUAGCAACUUCAUUUCUCUUACCUUCACCUCGGCAUUAGGUGGUAUUCCGCACACUCUCGAUCGUAGGUUCAUAGGUAGCAAGUCACACCUUGGCAUUAGGUGGCAUCCCGCACACCCCCGGCCAUAGGUUUCAGGAUUCCGGAAUGAUCACCUCUUGUAUGGUCUCAAUGGUCCGUUAUUUUCACCCUACAUUAUUAACCUUCUUAGGUUUCAUAUCCGUGUGAUUACACUAUCAUUAUGUUUUUUAACCUAUAUUCAAUGACACUAUGUUCUUGAAUGUUUAUAUGUUGAGUUCUCUAGUAUCCCUAGAGAAUGUCAACCUAUUUUCUUAGUCCACAAUAUGGGUAUAUAGAACAACACAUGCAUUUUACUCAUACCUUGGUAGUUAUUCAUUCUAUAUAAUAUAUGUCUCAUACAUGUAUAUUUACUAGUUAAACUAUUAUUUAACAUGCAUAAACUUAAAUUUGGUUUAUUAUUAUCUAGACAUGAAAGUGACCCAAUUACUUCGGUGAAACACAACCUACCUCGAUUCGUUCAUAAUUGCUUGUAGACAUUUGCAAUUAGGUUCCCGUAGGCUACUUGCUCUCCUCUGUUCAAUUAAUUGACGGUUAGUGGUUGCCUUCUCCACCGCAGCCUUGUAUUGGUUCCUGUUGGUGUCAGGACCUCUCCCUGAUGUUGCUGAACCAUUCACCUUGUAGUUGCCUUGGGAGUUGGUAACCCCUUGCAUUCGGAGUAUCUGUUUACUCUUUCUUAUCAUCGCAGCCAUGGUCUGCUCCUGUAGUUUCGCUUGUUCGAAGGCUUGAGCCAAUGUUCUAGGCUGUAACAUUUUAACCGCUGAUUUGAUUUCGUCUUUUAACCCGCUUAGGAAGCUAGAAAGAAAAUACUCCGGAGAGAACUGAGACUUGGUGGUAAGUAAUCUAGCUCGCAAGUCCUCGAAUUGCUCUUGAUAUUCUUCUACUGUCCCAGUUUGCACCAGCUUGUUAAACUCUUCUACUACAUCUACCAACCCUCUUACAUCAAAUCGCCUGCACACCUCCUCGGCAAGUUCGGCCCAACUGAUAACCUCCUUCUCAGCUAGAUACCCUUGAAACCAAGUGUCGGCCUUAGCUUCCAAGUGAAGAGCAACCAAUUCAAUUUUUUGAUUCUCCUUGAUACCAUAUAUAUCAAAGUACCUCUCACACCUUCUCACCCAACUUCUCGGAUUCUCCCCCACGAAGGUUGGGAAUUCCAAUUUAGGCAGUGAGAAUUGAAACCCGGAUCUACUUUGUGUGAAAUUUGUAUGAUUAUCCUCUUUUGUAUGAAAAGUAGGUGGGGUAGGAAGUAUACCUCGCUCUUCGUGACUCAGAGAUGAUGAAGCUCCUUUAGUAGCUGCAGAUUGUGGCGCAUUCAUCAAUAGUUCUAUUAUUUGCUCCAGUUUCCUUGUAGUGUUUGCUGACUCCCUAUAAAGUGCAUCAUAGUGGGAUUGCCCUUCGGUACGUAUAGCUUCCAUUCGACUACUGAGAUUAUCGAACUUCUUCUCAUUUUCUACAGUUAGUUCCUGGAGUUGUUGCUCCAGGGCGUGAACGUGUUCAUCAAGUACCUUCAAUCGGGUUCCUUCGGCCAUUGUUUUGCUAAUAAAUUUGAACCGGUUACCUUUUGCAGACCCAAUUUUGCUCAAUCUCUGGAGGCACCAGGUGGGAACUUCGAACAGAUGGCGGGCGUUUAAUUUCCCUGCCAAUUCUGUGAGUUCAAGAACCGGGGAAGGUUCUUACAGCGGUCCCCUUUGUCCAGGAUCACCCAGAGGCCGUCGAUGUCGGAUUCAACAGUUUGUAAAACCGGAGUCCCUGCGACUGCGCUGCACCGAUCCCUGGGAUCUAAACCGCUCUGUACCAGAUUGUAACAAUCCUGACGUUAAGCAACCACAGUGAAUUGUAGGAUGGCUUUAGGAGUGAUGGAUGGAUACCUGAUCCUGCUCCUUGUCCGGUGAAGUUCCUUCGACUGAGGAUGAGGAAGGGAAAUGAUGGGAAUUCGAUCUGAAUUCUGUAUCCAAGAGCCGGUAAUUCCAGGGAAGGAUGAACAGAGAUCAGAUGAGCAGAGAGAGAAGGGAAUAGAGGGAAUAGAGGAGAUAGAGGAGGUAGAAGAGAAGAGAGGGGAAGAGAACAGGAAUGGGGGAGAAACUGGGAUUUUUUUAUAUUUCAGCUUAACCUAUUACAGGCGUGAGGAGAUGGAUACUUAUACCGCUCUAUUGUGGGCACUAAAAUGUAAGAAUUACAAUGGUGGGUAUCUAAUGUAUUAAUACUAAGUGGACUAUUGUGGGCCUAAUCCUGGCUUUAUGCUGAGUCCUCGCCUGGUUCAUCUUCAGUUCGCCUCUCUCUCAGUUUCCGGAGUCGGGUCGACGACGCAACAGUGAGGAGGCGCCGACCCGCUACCUGAAAGCUGAUCCAAGACGCGGAGUCGGGCUCGGUGAUGCUACAGAGAGAGAGCGCGGACCCACUGCCCGAAAACCAUUCUUCUUUAGAUUACGCCGCCGCUGUUCUUCCUCACCUUGGAUCCUGCCGUCUCACCCCUGCGGCCCUGCUUCCGACCUCUUCCCUUCCGGCCGCUCGCCGAACGCCAUCGGAAGCGCUCCUCUUCAGAAAUCGAAGAUCGACGAUCGGGUUCUUCACUCUUCAGAAAUCGAAACCCUCCUCGUCGCCUCUUCCUCUUCCGCUUCCGCUCCCGCUUCCGCUUCCGCUAUCCAACGAUAGAUCAGUAAUCGGGUGGUUCUUUACAAACCAGCUACGAUUUGAGUUUUCAUUCUUCAAAGCAAAAGUUGCAAGCUUUUAGUCCAUCUGAUGGAUACUUUUUUAUACACAAAUGGCUCGAGUGCUUUAAUUGAAUGUGUCCAUUCUCUGUUAUGCACAAAGAAGACCCAAACAUAGAGCUAAAUAAUCUUCAUUAACUUAGGGACCAGGAACUCUUGUAUUAUACCUAAUCAAUUUCAUGAUCUUGUCGACACUUGCAAAAGGAAAAUUUUGUUGUGGUCUUUCAUGGACCAUUGACUCAGUGGGGUUUCUACACUUUAUGUAUCUUUUAUUUGUUUACUGUUUAGAAUUUAGAUAUGCUAGUAUGCACUGUGCAAAGUGCUAGUUUCAUCUUGUAUUUAGUUUCUAACUAUGCUUGUACGUGAACCUUUUAUAUUUUACAUUUAAAUAGACUAUCUUGAUCUCUUAUUUGCUUAAUUAUUUAUUAUAUUUGAGGUAUAAUAUAGUUUACUAUUUUUUACUUAAUUAGUUUAAUUUUGUAUCUUUAUUCUUAUAUUCUUAAAAAUAUAAGUAUUUAUGCUAAUAGACAUAAAUCUUGAGAGAAAAAAAACUUAAUUUAAUAUAUCGAAUUUUUGAUCCUGAAUUUUUAAUUGGUGAACGUAUAAUAUCCGUAUAAAUCAUGUAUCCGAAUAAUUGGCGAAUUCGUUUUUUAGCCCUUUUUUUCAACGAAUUUAAAAAUUAGAAGGCGAGUUUUAUCCGAAUUAUAUCCGUACCGAAUUUUUGCCGAAUCCGAAUUAACUAACUAUGCCCCAAAUACUGCCAGCUCCGACGAUGCCCUAGCCCGUGGCCCCGCCGGAGUUCCACCCGCACAGCUCUCUCACCGAUCACUCCGCUCUCGCCGGAUCGCUCCGCCAAGCUCGCCCUUCUUCAACUUCUGCUGCAGCCGCUAUCUCGCUCUACUGUGUAAAGUUGACAUUUUUUUUUUUUUUUUGCUUACUCCCUCUGUUAACUACUACUUCUACCAUUUAUUCUUCAGGGUUGUUACACCCACCUCCUCUCUCUCUCUCUCUCUCUCUCUCUCUCUCAAGGUGUAGUAGUGACGACAUGCUCACGUCACUCCCCCACUCCUCCGCCGCCGUUCUUCCUCAGCGGAGCCGUUUACUCGUGGCGCAAAGGGCGGCGAGGCGCCCCAUCUCCGUUACCAACGCCGUUGCCGACGAAACCCUAGACAAGGCUUCGGUGGCGACAGGGGCGCCACCCACCCUCUCCUUCCCCAUUUUGGUGCGAACCUGCUAAGCCUCACCUAUUUUGUCUUUUCUUUUUUAUAUAAAUAUAUAUAUUUAGCAAUCCCUAAUUUUCCAGCUCGAUUCAUGAUGGAUGCAAUGGGAGCCUUUUCUUUUGAUGAUUAGUUGGUAAAGUUUGAUUUUUGGGUCGGUGUAGAGGAAUGGGGCUUUCUGAUGUGAGUUUAGGGUUUAGGGUUUAAGGGGCCAAAAUGUGGAUGGGAGAACCCAUGAUUGAAAUGUCACAUACACUGUGAUUAAAUGUUGAGAUCAAUAAAAAGGGCUAAAGUUGACAACUUUAAAACAAGCUUUCCCUACUUAGUAGUUUGUUUAUUUUUUCUAUAGCAUUCUGCAAAUUCCUAUUUUGAUUCGCGUAGGUGCUGUAGGAGCCUUUUUUUUGGUAGUAAUUGUCAUGAAAUUUGUUCUCUUGGCUUAGGAACCGGUGUUGGCGAUUCCAGACUUCUGGCCUGAGGUUAGGGUUUAGGGUUUAGGGGCUUUUUUUUGGAGGGCAAAAUGUAGAUGAGAGAACCCAUGGUUGAAAACGCAUUCUGAGAUGUGUAAAAAGGAGUUAAGUUGAUUACUUUUGAGGGGUUUAUUACUUUAAAAAAGGUUUAAGCAUGUAUAAGUAUUGAGGGACACGAAGGAACUUUUGUGUGAUACUUUUGAUUUUUUUUAAGAAAAUCCAAUUAUCACAAUUUUUUCCCUUAGUUUCCUUGUGUGGCUGUACACUUAUCUUUACUUCAUCUGUAGAUUGUGCAAUAUUUUUGUUAAGAAAAUUAAGUCAAUGCUAUGAGGAGUAUUUGAUAGCAUUAUGGUCUAGAAUAAUGUGAAGACAAUCUUUUAUAGGCAUCAACUAUGCUGUUCGCUUUCAUUCUUGUUCAUGUGGUUGAACUUUAAUGCGAUUGCUCUUUAAAUGACUUCCUGAUUUGGUUUAGUCUGAGAUGGAUUUAACGUAGAAAUCUAAACAAUUUUAUCUAUCGACAACUAUUUCUGUUAGCUAAACAAUUUAAUCUAUCGACAAAUAUUUCUGUCGAUUUAUUGGUUUGAAUUGGUUUUUGAAAGUUCAAACUAAAAGCUAACAGAUUCUACCAGUUUGAAAUAUCUUUUAACUGAGAUAAAACUGACUACUAGAGAAAAGUGAUUAAACCGGGCCAAAAAAAAAAGACUUGCUUUGGUUUACUGAUUCGGCCUCUUUUUUUUUGGCCCAGCCCCUUGUUCAAAUAUAUUCUUGAUCUAAAGAUACUCUCAGAAAGAGUCGAACUACAGGUAAGUAACGUGAAAAACUAUUCAUUGAGUUUCAAGUAGAUGCUGUAUCUUGUUAUGCUGUGCUGAAUCAGUUAAUUCUCUAUUUCUUUACCUAUGGAACCAUAUAUUGCAGAUGAUUAACUGGUGGCAUGAGAUGUUCCAUGCUCCGUAAUUGCACUCAGAUUCUUCAUAAAUUUACCUUGUGAACUUGUUAGAACUUUCGAUUACUUUAUGAUGAACUUCAUGCAAGGGAAUCAAAUAUGUACUGAGCGUCAAGAAGUGUUCAGAUCAUUGAGAUUCCUCAUACAUUCUCAGUAGGCCUUAAAAUAUUAGUUCUGUUCAUUUAGUUUAUUGAUUCCCAUAUCAGAUAGGUUGCAAUUUUAAUCAGGUCUUUUUGAGUAAAACUAUAUUAUUGGUUUUUAUUGUUGGCUUUAGGUGGUUUAGAUGUCAAGUAUAAUGUGGUUAAAAAGUUUCGAAAAUCAUUAUGGAUAUCUUUUGAAAGUUGAUUUAUAGAUAUAUUAGAAUUUCAAUUUUUCUUGAUGUAUUAGAGGCCAUAUUGCAUUAAUUAGAAAUAAGCUAUCUGUCACAUUCAACUGAAAUGACGAGCUGUUGUUGUAUUAGAUACUCAAAUUAUUAAGUCAAAAAACUGGGGAGAUAGCAGUGUACCUGAAGUAUAAAAUAGUUAAAAUGAAUAUCUCCAAGCUGUAGCAUCUAUAUUGAGUGAAAGCUUUCAUUUCCUGUCCUUGACUAUCACAUUUGGUUCCUAGAUGUUUUUGACCUUGUUAUUUCGCUUUCUUUAAUAAAUAAAUUUGCAACUUGAUUUGAAGUAUCAUGCAGAAUAAUUUUUUUCCUCAGAUUUGCUUUGAAGAUGUGUUUCGGUGUAAAACCAUAAGUUUGAUUUUCCGUGAAUGUGGUCUCAUCAAAUUUGUAAUGUAAUACCUAGUAUUGUUUAUAACUUUUUGGCAUGGCUGAAGAAAGCUAGAUAUAGAAAUCUAUAAACAUUUCCUGAGGUAUAGUGCAUUUUAAAAUGGAUACCUGAACAUUAAAAAUUUUGAUUUCAUUAUUUUUCGUUAUGGUAUAUUUGAUGUAACUAUCUCGAUGCUAGAAAUUAAUAGGGUUUGUAAGUUUUUGAACACAAAUACUCUUUGACCCCACAGACUAUUUCUUUUUGAUUGAAUUAACUUUUCUGGGAGAGAUCAUCAAGUUCCGACAAAACUUGAUGCAAUUUCUAUAGUCAUAUUUAAAAACAUGUUAUAGAUCACGUUAUGUCUGUACUUUUUUUUUAUCAAAACUAGGUUUUUUUUGGAACAUACUCUGCUUCAUGCUGAUAUCGUCUAAGUGAAAUUUAUCUUUAUUAGGUGAAUGGCUGUACUGGAAAAAUGGGAAAAGCUGUUGCUGAAGCAGCAGUUUCUGCUGGCAUUCAGUUAGUUCCUGUAACAUUCAGCAGCAAAGAGAAUCCUAGUAGAACGCUACAAGUUGGCAGUAUGGAUAUGCACGUACAUGGCCCAUCAGAAAGAGAAUAUAUUCUCUCUUCUGUCCUUGAUGAAUUCCCGAAUCUUGUACUUGUUGACUAUACUGUACCAGAUGCUGUGAAUGGUAAAAUAUUGCUACUUGUCUUCUUCCUUUUUUUUCUGCAUUUAUUCCUUUGUUGUAUAUUCACAUUAUGUAUGGAAUAGUCCAUAUAUACUCCAAGAAGAACUGUUUUCACAUUCGCAUCCUAGUUAUCUCCUUAAACAGAAACGAACUGCCCGGAGGAUUAUAUGGUUGACUUCUGCAUGGAGGGAAGUAUUGGGAUUUUCAUUUACUUUUUUAAGCGCUAUAUUCAAAAAAGAACUUGUAGGUUACAUUUGUAAAAUUCCUUUACUAUUGAUGGCAGUGUUGGUGCCUAAUUUUUUCUAUACAUUCACAGUCCACUUUUACCAAUAACCCGAACACCAGUAUCAAGGUAUUUGAAAAGUAUGGAACUCAAUCUUGAUUUAUUUUUCGGGUAUCAAAGCUCUUUAGCUAAGCUUCAUAGAGGUAAAAGGAUUUUGGAACUUAGCAUUUGAUUAUCAUCAUUAUUCUUGAACUUGUAAGCAUUUGAUAUUAGGCAAUUUAGUACUGUCAGUAGUCUCCACAUUGAUGUAGGGGGAAAUUACUUUUUCAUGAUGUUUUUGAUGUUGUUCUAGUAUAGUUAAUCUGCAUUUAGACAAUUAUCUUUAUUUCAAAAUGGUAACUUUUUUCUUGUAGAUAAUGCUGAACUUUAUUGCAAACUCGGUGUGCCGUUUGUAAUGGGCACAACGGGAGGAGACAGGGAGAAGUUGUACAAAACAGUGCAGGAUGCAAAUGUUUAUGCUGUAAUAUCUCCCCAGAUGGGCAAACAGGUAAAACCCAUAUUCCUGAGUUUAGUUAGAGCUUGUUUGGCUUGGCUAGAGCUUCAACAUAAGUGGUGUUUGAGUCAAGUUAUUUAAAGAAGCAUUAACAGGUUUCUCAUUAGAAUAUUGUCAAUAGUUUUCCGCUGCUGCAGGAGCUAAAAUCUUCAAAUUAGAUCUUCUACUUUAAUGCCCAGAAGCCUAGUUCGCUUCAGCUGCUUGGAAUAAGAGAAUUUGCUCUAGAAGCCAAGCCAAACAGGUGCUUAAUGACAUAGUUUUUGGUCCAUUGGUGAGAAAUCCCAAAUAUAAGCAAGUUGUACUUUUUACUAGGUUGUUGCAUUUCUUGCUGCCAUGGAGAUAAUGGCUGAGCAGUUUCCUGGUGCUUUUUCUGGAUAUCAUAUGGAGGUACAAUUCCACUGUAGUUCUUUUUUUUUUUCCUGUGUAUUUCUCCAGUUUCCAAGCUUCUACUGGAAAAUAACUUCAAUCCAAUUAGAGUUUUCUUGAAUUCCAUUCAUGUUUACAGGGACUAACCUUAUAAUUUCCUAUAUUCUUAUCAAAUUAACUACAGUUAAGUAUUUAUAGCAACUCUUCUAUUGAUUAACUACAGUAUUGGUGUAUUUAUAGCAACUCUUUUAGAUUGGAUAACACUUAUCCUAAAUGAUUUACAUGCAUGAAGUUUACAAUUAUUAAGGCACAUCCCUGACCUUGGCGACCAGUCCUCCAACCUCUUUUAGCUAUGAAAUUGUUUACUUUUACUUUCUGUUGGAAAAACUUUCUACGUUUCAUUCCAUGUUAUAAGAAGUUCCUCUUGAGUUGUUUAAGCUAGCUUAGCAGAGUGAUCCAAGUUUUUUCUCAUCAAAUAUGACAGACAACCUAGCAAGUGCAAUGCAUGUCCUGAAAAAUUCUUGAUUAUGAGGGCCUUGCGGUGUACUAAAAUGAAACUUCUAGAUUGCAACAACAAAGGAAAAGCUCACGAGCGCACAAGUUACUGCUGGACAAAUAGUUCUAAAUCCAAACAGGCCUUAGUAAAAGAACUUUUAUCGGGGCUAAGUCUCUUAUUGUGCUUGCCUUUUUUUUUUUCUAGUGGAAGGACUAUUCUUAAGUAAUGAAAUAUAAGUAUCUAAGCAAAAAACCAUAUGAUCAAUCACUAAUACUUUAUUAUCAUCAAAACCAACUAGAGAAACUUGCUGAAACUGUGAUGCUAACACUUUCUGCAUGUUUUUGGCCUUGUAUUACAUUCUGCAGCCCUAUAUCAUUAUUAUAUGAAGGGAUCAAAUUACCAAAUCAUUUAUAUUCGAACUCUGAUGUCUGUAUCAAUGUAAUCAUCUGCAUAUUUGUGACUUCGAAGGCUCACUCUGUCUAUUUAUUAAUCUAUAAUUCCACCCAAUUUAUGAGAGUUGUCUAACAGAAAGAGCUACAUAGAGUCGGUCAUGAUGCUCUAAAGCCGGUUUUGUAAAGCACUUCUCAAUACCUUGCAAAUUUGAAAUUUGAAUUUAGUGAAAUUUACUCCUUGUCUGACUUAUGAUUUUGUGAGUCAUUUACAAAAGAUAGAGGAUAAAAGAUACUUCCAAGAAUGUUCCAGACUGUAGAAGACUAGAAACACUACUCUACCUCGUGUGAUCUGUAAAAUGCUACAUUUCUAUUUACAAUUAGCUCCUUGGCACAGGGAGCGGAAAAGAGUAUGCCUGAUUAUGAUGCUCUUCUCCACAGUUAUGAUAUGUGGUACUCAGAAAUAUAUCAUAUUAUUAUUAUAACCAUUAUUCACAGGUUAAUGCUUCCCAUACUGAAUAUUCAGAAAUUUACAGGUGAUGGAGUCACAUCAAGCAGGCAAAUUGGACACAUCUGGUACAGCUAAAGCUGUCAUUUCUUGCUUUCAGAAAUUGGGUGUCUCAUUUAAUUUAAAGCAGGUAUGGGCUUUUGCGAAACAUAUUUGUACUCGAACAAUAAAAUAUUCCUUUCAUUAUGUUCAAUAUGUUAUCGGUCGCUUGAAAUGUUUGUUUUUAGAAACUUAGUCUUUGCCAUCAGUUUUGUCAGAUCUUAUUUAUUUAUUUGUUGUAUUGUCAACAUUUGGCAAAUACAUGGCUUUUUGUAAGCAAAUAUGUUUGAUGCUGAAUCUCUGCUUCUAUGUUUGCAUUUCUGUUUGAGAGUCACUAGUGAUAGUUUAUGAACUAUCCUAGUAUCUUAAUGCUUCAACCUUCCCUGUUCAUGUCUUUUUCUUUUUUAGGUGAUUUAGCAUACCAUGUGCAACAACACUUUUUCUUUUGAUUGUUCUCACAUUUACAAUGAGGUGCUGUAGUAGAGUCUUAUUUUCCCUUUUCUUUUCAAUUAUGAGGUGAAUAUCAGUGAAAUUGAUAUAACUAAAGCUUCCUAUUUCCAUAUUUAGUUUGAUCGUAGAUAUCUAUAGGCUCUUGACUUAUGUAUUAAUACAUUCUUGUUAUAUCCUUGUUUGCAUUUAGCUUUCAAGCAUUUUGCGCAAACUCGGUACUUGGUUUAUGUUAGUCAGGCUCUGUUUCUUUCUGAAUAGUAUGUGGCUAUCUUCGGUGGUCUUUGUUGUGUCAAUUACUCUUAUUAAUUUGCAGAAUGUGCCUAUAUUUUCCAUCAUGAACUUUAAUACAUCUCAUAGCAUUUAUGAUUUUAGUUUUGAUAGUUUCCUUUUAAUGUGUAUUCUCAAAAACUCACUUUUUUCUUCUUUUUCUUAACGUUACCAGAUAAAAAAGAUUAGAGACCCUAAGAAGCAACUUGACAUGGUGGGUGUCCCUGAGGAGUACCUCUCAGGCCAUGCAUUUCACUUAUAUCAUCUCACUUCGCCUGACGAAACGUAAUAUUUUUUUUUUUUGUCAUCUUAUUAGUCGCUGAGCUAUGUUACGAACGAAUAAUUCCUAUUACCUGCUUAUUAAUGUAAAUUUUUAAUGUUGCUGCCAGUGUUUCAUUUGAGUUCCAGCAUAACGUCUGCGGUCGUUCAAUAUAUGCUGAGGGAACUGUUGAUGCUGCUAUGUUUUUGUAUAAGAAGGUCUCCUGAUACUUCAUUCUUUAAUUUUCUCCUGUAAAUUCUAUUAAUUGCAAUUUAGUCCCCAAUCUUUCACUUAAAUAAUAUUUUCCUGAACUUAACCUAAUAUCAGUUUUGCAUACAAACUAACAGGCCCUAGAAAUUAUCGACAGGAGGAGUUAUUAAAAGAAAAGUGACAAUUAAUACAUUUUACCUUUUUCUUUAUGAGUUCGCUCCCUAUUUUCCGUUGUACAAGGAAGAGCAAUCCGACACUCAUAUUUUUUUGCCAAUGCAGGUUCAGUCUAAGGCCGAUAAGAAAAUAUACAACAUGAUCGAUGUCCUGCGAGAAGGUAACAUGCGAUGAGCCCUGGUUAGUCCAUUUGCUGAUACCGCAACUUCGAUCUGAAACCUUUGUAGAAUUUUGUGAUAUUUAAAUUUUACUUAGAUUUGCGGCAACAUGUGUUAGUGUUUUUCUGGCACUCCUUAUAAUUUUUUUUUUUUUUUUUCGUUUCAAAAAUUUUGUACCUCCCAAACUAUUUUAUCGAAAUCGAGUGGUAGAUUUACCUCUCUAUUGAAAAUAUUGGACUCAGAAUCAACUUUCAAUCCCUUGAUUUCUUCGUUUACGGUGAGGGGUAAAUUGCACUACAACUUCAUCUCAAAAGUUUCAAUUUGGUCUUGGAACUUUUAAAUUUGAUUUUGAAAACCCUGAGGUCCUUUCAAAUUUGAUUUUGAAAACCCCGAAUAUUUUAGCCCCCGUACUUCCAACUAUAUUUAUUUUAGUCCUUACCUUGGAUUGAAACUUGUUUCUUGCGGCCUGUUUGUUCACCAGCCUGUUUGUACACCAUUAAUUUGUUGAAUGUUUCGUCCAUCUCAUAUUUCAAUUCAACGAUUCAAUGUGUAAAUAAAAAAAAUAUAUUUGAAGUCGAUGGAUAAUUGGAUUGAAAUAUAAGAUGGGAAAAAGGGUCAGGAUAUAUGUAUGGGACAUAAAUGUGCAAAUGGGUUGGGUGUGGGCGGUGCUUUGUAAUAACAAAACCCACGGGGAAUAAAUUGGAAUUUUUUAAAAAAGAGUUUAAGGUCUCUAACCUUAGAUUUAAAUCGAAACAAAAUAUUAUUAUCAAAUGUUUUAAGGAUCAAAAUGAAGAUUAACUGAAAUUUGAGAACUAGUGGUGUAAUUUAGCCUAUCAAUUACGCUUUAUUCCGGUGUAUUUUUGGACGAGAAAGAUGGUAGUGGAUAGUUUAUUGCUUACAAUCUUAUUAUCUAAAACAUUUAUUUGGCAGCAAAAAAUUAAAAACUUAAAGCCUCGUGUAGUAUCGUUUUUCGUAUUUUAUUAUUAUAAGUAAAAUUUAGUAUAUCAAAAGGUAUAGAAGUGGGUAGUAAAUUACUUGUUCUUUUCAGCUAAAAUAUUUAUUUAAUAAUAAAAAAUGAAAACUUAGAAAAUAUUUUUUUUUGCUUCCAAAUUUUUUUUAAAUAAGUAGGCGUCUUAUACUUGGACGGAUACAGUAAACUAAUCAACUAUAACAACAACAAAAAAAAAAAAAAAUUUCUCGGCAGAUUAAAUUAUACAGAAUUAGUGUUAAAAAAAAAAGAAGACAAUAAUACCAGAUGAGAUGAGGUUUAAAAAUUACUUUUUUUUUCUACCUUCUAAAGGGGAUACAGUGUAAGUUAACCAGCUAUAAUAACAAAACAAAAUUUUUUCUUUUAAUAACAACACAAAAUUUUUUGUGGCACUAUUUUGGGGGCCUUUAUGAAAAAAGCCGGUAAAAAUAAUUAUUGGUGGCAUUUUUAAAGUACUGCCCUUAAUAAAAUUUAUAUGAGAGCUCGCUUUUUUUUUUUUUCGAAAAUUGUAGGUCAUCUCACAAUUCACAAAAAGCUGCCGGAUUAUUCGCGAGCGGAAUUUUUUGCCAUUAUCUUUUAAUUGGUCGCAGCAAGAGAAAAAAAAAAAAAAAAAAAAAAAAAGCCCUAGCUGCUAUCAUCCAAAGCCCUCUUCGUCCCAUUUGGGAGUACCCUCCCUUUCUCUGCGAUUCCACCUCUCUCCCUCUCCUCCUCCUCCUCCUCCUCCGAUGGUGCCUCGGCUCCCUCUUCUUCUCACGCGCUGCUGUGCUCUAAGUGCUCUUUCCGACAACCCUUGCUGCUCUACCCCUUCGCCGUUGUUGAUCCCCUGCCCAACCACUAGGCUUCGCCUACUGCCGCGCCUACCUCUGCCGCCUCCGCCUCUGCUGCCGACUCCGCCCCCCGGCUUCCGCACCCCCUCUCCUCUUCCUUGUUGCUCCCAACCUCGUCCUCCUCCUCUGGGGCCCACUCUGCAUCCGCCACUACCGCCACCCCCAAAACCCUAAAAACGAAAAAAAAAAAACAAAAAAAGGUAAAAAGUGGAGAAAUGCUCCCUCUACUAUCCCCACUACCACAGUUUCUUCUUUUGCUUUCCACUCAAACUUUUUGCAUGUACUGUAAUUUAUAGCUUCUAACAAGCAAAGAAUAUAAUUAGUAGUGGGAACAAAAAAAUAAUUUGGUCUUUUCCUAUUUUAUUAGGGUUUUUAACUAUACCAUUGGCAUUUGGUCCCUCAUUGCUGGUGAUCUUUGCCUGAGCCAAAGAUAAACCACACAAAGAAAACUAUCAGCCGGCAAGUGAGCAUUCCAUGCUAUGUGAUGCCGAGGUCACCCUCAUUUUCUUCUCCUUUUUUGCAUAGUAUCUCUAUGCUUCUCUAUCUUUUAUUCCUUUUUGAAUGUGAAGGCAUGGUGUAGGGAAUUGGAAAUUUAUCAAGCAAUGCCAUCCUUCAUUAUUCAAAGAGAGAACAGAGGUAUUAAGUCAUUUCUAUUGUCCAAUUAAUUUGUUCUUUAUACAUAGCUUUGACUAAUAAUGGAUGGUGCAUGGGGAUCAAGAUUGGAUGCAAGAACAUAUUGGGAUCUACUAAUUUGACUGUGAAAUCUUUUGAGUCUCAACACAUCGGGAUAAAAAAAAUGUGAUGCUGCCUCGAACUUUUAGAAGAUUGUAAUUUGAUUCUGGAACUUCAAUGCUUCAUAAUUAGGCUGCGAUUGCAUGAUUUAUGGACCUUAGGUUCUUUAUUUCAUAAUUAGGUAUUUCAUAAAUAGGCUGCGAUUGUAUGAUUUAUGAAUCCAAGUCUCUUUAGCAGCGAAAUCUUCAAACUUGAACUGAUUCUCUACCCCCUUUUGCUGCACUACAACAAAAUUAGUAUUUAGUGGCAAUUUAAUUAAUAGCGGCGAUUAUCCAACCGCCACUAUUACUUAUUAUCUAAUUGUACUUUAGCAGCAAUUAUUUUAAAAUAUAUAUCUUUACCAACUAAUAUUUAUAUAUCAAAUAUAUUUACAUUGAACCCCAAUACAACCUUAACCCUAACCCACAACAGAACCUAACCCACACCCCUCUCCUGCAUCGACCUCACAUGAGCACCCCCACCUUCAACCCCUUCUCUCCCUCAACCCCUCCUCUCCGAGCUCGAGCUCCUUCACCUCUACUCAUCCCCUCCUUCCUCAUCCUCUGCGUCCUCUCCAAGCUCCGAUCCUCGACUCGGCGAUCCCCAAAUCUCCCUUGCUAUCUUCCCCGACCUACUCGGCCCCGCGAGGACAAUCCUUGACCCGGCGAUCCGAUCCGAGCCCUCGGCGGUGCCGCUUCUCGAUUCCUCUUCUCGAUUCGGUGCUCCGAUCCAUUGGUAAGAGCUCUCAAUCUCAAAUCACUAGUUUCGUACUCGAAUCCGUAGUUAUCUAUUAUUUAUAGUUUUUACCUCCGAUCAAUCGUGUAUUCCUCAUUAAAUUUGAUAGUUGGUUAGUUGGUUUCAUUUGUUUUGCUUAGAUUUGCCUUUGGAGAUAACGAUUUAGUUUUCAAAUAGCUUGGAUGAAAUUGAAAGUGUCUAUGUUGAGUGCUCAUUUUGUUCGGUCACUGCGAAUUCAUGUUGGAUGUUCUGUUAAUCAUCUUCUAAUUCAUGUUUGAUGUUUUGUUAAUCAUCUUCUCCUUAAUAAAAUUUUGACCUGACCACAAGGAAGUUCACAUCUUGCUAUUUCUUGGCUAAUCAGACCAUUCAUGAUUUUAUUUUUUAUUUUUUUGGGGGUUCAUAUUUGGAAUGUGUGCCUUUUGUUCCUACCUGUAUUUUUCUAAUAGAAGGAUCCUCUUUAUCAUGUUCCUUUUAUGUUGUUUUACAGUUUUGCACCUUAGAAAAUUUUAUCUGUGCAACUAGUUGUUUCAAAUAUAUGGUUCAAUUAAUGAUUUCUACCUUGACUUGUCUUAACUUAAUGCAGAUGCAUCGAUCCUUGUAAGUAGUUCGAGAGCUUUAUUGUCAUGUUCCCCGAGUACAUCAAGCUUGCAUCUAUGAGUUGCUUUUGUGGGUACAAUUUCGUCUGCUUCUCAUUAUAUUUGUUUUUCUUCUCCUUGAGGCAUCACUUGAAUCUGGUAGUAUAAUUUAAUUGAUAUGUGGCAGAGGAGCGGCUCCAGGAAUCGAAGGACAUCCUCGCCAAGUAUCCUGAUCGAGUGCCGGUGAGCUCGUUUGUUCGAUCUUUCGUUCGUUCAUUUGUCCCCCCCCCCCUUUGUUGUUAAUUAAUCAUAUUUGGAGUUGAUUUUGUAGGAAAAUAGUGCCCGUUCUGUUGUAAAACUUAGUUAUUUGUUUGUCUACUAUGUUGGGAUUAAAAAAAAAGUUGAAAAUAUUUUUGCUUAGAUGUUCGGUGUAAAGAAAAUAAACUUAAAAAAUAUCACUACAAUGCCAUGCUUCAUGUAGAAUUAGUGUUAGGGCUGAUUCACUCAUGAGUAAAUGUAAGCUCUUAAUCCUUUUUUUGACUUACAAAACAAGCUACUUCCAAAAUGCUUAUAAAAAAUACUAUAAGAUACAAAACCUGGGUCGAUAUAACAUUAUCAUUUUUUCUGUCUUAAAAUACAAACAAAUAUGCGAAAAUAAAAUCCCGUGGGUUGUAAAGUUAAAUUUCAAUUCCAAAUCAUAUGCAGCUCAACAUAAAGAGUCAUAUAUUUUAGAAACAUUUAACAAAACAUCUACUUUCCACUUGUCAUGAGAACCGGUCUAUGUCAAUAUCAAGUUGUUAUAAAGGAGCAGCACAAAAAAGGACAAGAAUACUAAGAUGACACAUUAUCCAAUCUAAAUUCUCACACUAGCUAGUAGAUAACCUCCUUCUAUAGCACUAAUGCACAUAUGCUACAUCAGAGUAAAAGAUCUUUUCUUUUAAAAGCAAAACAUAAAAGAUCUGUCAAAUUUAUUCAUUGGAAAACAUUAUUGGCUAAUUACAAAUCACCUCACGUUCUGUCAUAUUUUUAUAGUUUUGUGCUGCCGUUAGUUUGUGAAUGGAAGACUGGCUUUUCAGAGGGCUUUUUUUGCAUCAGGGGGAAGGUCGAGUGUUGUUGUUUUGGAACAUUAGUUCAGGUACAAUUUGCGACACGGACCCUUACAAUACUUUUAUUUAAGUCAUGAUUUUUGUUUCCAUUUCUAACAAGAAUGUUUUAUUUGUAUAGAUCUGGGCAUGGGACCACCUGCACAUUGGCCGCCCUGAGGUAGUAGGAGCGCAGCCUGAGCUUGUCGACAUGCCACUAGGGUAUCGGUAAGUAUUUUUUCAUUUUAAGUUUUCUAUAUACUAUUUAUUCAUAACUAAUAUGAUAUAAAUGAAUCAGGUAGAAUACCAGGCUGGCUUUUCGGGACAAUGUUAGGACUACCGACAUUGAGUUUUAUCAUGAUCAGCUGGAUCAGCAGUUAGAGUCUUAGGUAAAUAAAAGUUACUCAAUCUGUCGAAUUUUGUAUUCAAUGCUAAUCUACUUAUUUUAUGGAUUGAAAUUUUGUUUUAGUUUGAAUUCUAGGAGGUCAGUACAGUAGUUUAAGGAACAAACAUAGAGGCAACUAGUCCAAAAACUACAGGAAGAUAUGGUUCUGACGUGAUAUGGAACUAGUUCAAAAACUGCAUCAAGUCAACAAAAUAUGGUUUCAUUAUUAAGUGAUUUGACGUGUAUGCAACUAAUUCAAGUACUUGAGUAAUAAAGAAAUCGAAAUUCAAUUAUCAUUCCAUUUUGAAGCCGAAAGCGUCCUUUUGGCUAUAUCUUCUCGUAGGCUCGGCGGAUUGCCGAACCAACUUCGCCAACGUGUUCGCUUUACCUUCAAUUACGUUUGCACGCGAGCAAUUUCAAGUUAGGGUCUCAAUCCUGCAAAAGUGCAUUAUCGAGCUUAGUGAAUACACUUUACUAGUUUCAACUUCCAACUAGUUUCAACUUCGAACUUCAUAUUAACUAGUUUCAACUUCCAACUGCCGAUUGCCAACUAGCUUCAACUUUCAACUAGUUUCAACUAUUUAUGAUAACAUAGUUUCAACUUUCAACUAGUUUCAAGUUCCAACUGCUUAUUAUAUAUAUAUAUAUAUAUAUAUAUAUAUAACUUUUCUAAGUUUCAUAACAAACAUGGCUUAAUAAUCAAGAAACCCAUGUCAAAUCCCUUUUAGGAUCAAUACCAUGAUCCUUAACAAAAGAACAGUGUAUAAUUACCUUGGAUUUUCUUGCUGUUACAUUUCUUCUCACCUCCACUUCCAUCUUGCUCCAAACCCCUCUAAAUACUUUCUAAACUCAUAGUUAACUAGCCCCACACUUCCAAAUUAACUCGGGGACACCACACAUUAUCCUCAAGCCUCACUUUGAUCUAUUUAAUCAAAGUUAGCGUCGCAAUCCGAAAAUUCCUUUCUCACUUUGUUCGUGCCCAAUUCGCGCCCAGACACUCAUUUAUCUCCGGAUUUUAUUUUCAGACGUCCAAAAUCACUCAGGAAAGAUGCCUAACUAGCUCCAGCUUCACUUCGAUCCUCUAGCUCAAAGUUGACAUCGCAACCUAAGGUUUCCAUAUAUUACAACACCAAUAUAUGUUCUUUUCUUUCAAUACUUUGUCAUAUUUUCAUAAUAAUCAUAUGUAUUUUUCACAAUAGUUCAUUUUUGAUAACACGAGACCAACAUAGUUUAAUUUUGAUAACUAAUCAUAUGUAUUUUUCACAAUAUAUUACAUAGAGGCUUUAUGACCACACAGUGUUAGAGACGCUCCCACCUUUUUGUCUGGCGGGGUUUCAGGUUUGGCAAUCGAGGACUACCUCAGUCUUCUUCCACAUUAUUGAGCUCCAUCAUUCCGAUCGUGUGCUUCGACAGUUUGGACUAUUACAGCAUAUACCUGAAGCAGUGCUUGCUAUACCUCGCAUCAAUUCAUGAGGCAGAGCAGAGGCGGAUUGGGCGGCAUACCAUGCUUCAUACAUUCAGCGUUGGUAUGAUAGAUUUGUAGAUAUAGCAGAGGUGACCUCUGAGACAGAUCCAGAUCCGAUACGACCUACUACUGUUUACAUGCAGUGGUAUUGGAUGACACCAGGAGGUGGAUAUCUACACCUGUACAGCAGCCACCACUCGCGUAUCAGCCACGUGGGCACGUCAAGAGAGUAUUGGUAUGAUUGUAAUAUAUAAUAUCUUUUUAUAUUUAGUUUUAUAUAUAUAAGAAAGUUUCGUAUAAUUUUUUUGAUUGUGCUUUUAUUUCAGGUCGAUAUCGUGCAGAGAUCACAUUAUACGAUCAGACGUGUCCUGCCAGAUAUUUCAGGAGGUAGAGUAUUAGAUGCCAUAUCACAGGUUGCCGAUCAGAUAGAAGCAGUUUUGGAGAGUUUACCCACGCUUCCACACUCUGUACCUUCACGACCAGCAAUACAACUAGGCAGCCUUAGCCCUUUUUUUGGCGCCAAAAAUCAAAUCAAAAUACAUUUCACAACAUCGGCAUAUUUUUGGAGCAAAAAAUAAAAUCAAUACACAUCACAACAUCACAACAUAACAAUACAAUACAGAUAUCUAAACGCAACAGUACAAUACAACAUCACAGCAUCACAACACAACAGUAUAAUAUACACAUCACUACCAACAGAAUCUCAAUAAAUUAUCAAUACCAGAUAAUCACAACAGAAUAUCCAAAAUUAAAGCAAGUUUUACAAUAAUAUAAAAAUAUAAUAUCACAUUCUCCUCCUACCCCCUCGACCACGUUGCCUACCACGUCCGCGACCACGAUCAACACCAUGCUCAUCAAAAGGCUCUAAGAUUUCCAACUGGUCCAGAUGCUCGAUAGCAGCACCCUCAAUAACCGGCUCAAUCACAACAGUAGCAGGUGUCGGUAGUAUGUCUGGCCGUGGAGGAGCUGAAGAGGAGGGCUGAUUUGUACCGAUAGACCUCAUAUGUCGUCGGCGCCUAUAAUAAGCAAUAUCAAUUGCUCGAGGUGGAUCCUGUGGUACUGGUGCUGGUACCGGGUCCAUAACAUCAGUAUAAGGUGGCUCCUCUAUAGGUGAUGAUCGCCUUGGUAGACUAUAUACUAGUGCAUGGCCGGACGUCGAUGCUUCACCAUAGUUUGCUGGUCGUGGAGAUACAGAGUGUGGAAGCGUAGGUUAACUCUUCAACAUUGCUUCCAUCUGAUCGGCAACCUGUGAUAGGGCAUCUAAUACUCUACCUCCUGUAAUAUCUGGCAGGACACGUCUGAUCGUAUAAUGUGAUCUUUGCACGAUAUCGACCUGAAAUAAAAGCACAAUAAAAAAGAUUAUACGAAACUUUCUUGUAUAUAUAAAACUAAAUAUAAAAAGAUAUUAUAUAUUAUAAUCAUAUCAAUACUCUCUCGACGUGCCCACAUGGCUGAUACGCGAGUGGUGGCCGCUGUACAGGUGUAGAUAUCCACCUCCUGGUGAUCGUCCAAUACCACUGCAUGUAAACAGUAGUAGCUCGUAUCGGAUCUGGAUCUAUCCCAGAGGCCACCUCUGCUAUAUCUACCAAUCUAUUAUUCCAACGCUGAAUGUAUGAAGUAUGGUAUGCCGCCCAAUCCUGAUCCGCUCUGCCUCAUGAAUUGAUGCGAGAUAUAGCAAGCACUGCUUCAGGUAUAUGCUGUAAUAGCCCAAACUGUCGAAGCACACGAUCGGAAUGAUGGAGCUCAAUAAUGUGGAAGCAGACUAAGGUAGUCCUCAAUCGCCAAACCUGGGACCCAGCCAGACAAAAAGGUGGGAGCGUCUCUAACACUGUGUCGUCAUAAGGCCUCCAUGUAAUCUAUUAUGAAAAAUACAUAUAAUUAGUUAUCAAAAUUAAACUAUGUUGAUCUCGUGUUAUCAAAAAUGAACUAUUGUGAAAAAUACAUAUGAUUACUAUGAAAAUAUGACGAAGUAUUGAAAGAAAAGCACAUAUAUUGGUGUUGUAAUAUAUAGAAACCUUAGGUUGCGAUGUCAACUUUGAGCUAGAGGAUCGAAGUGAAGCUAGAGCUAGUUGGGCAUCUUCCUCGAGUGAUUUUGGACGUCUGAGAAUAAAAUCCGGAGAUAAAUGAGUGUUUGGGCGCGAAUUGGGCACGAAACAAAGUGAGAAAGGAAUUUUCAGAUUGCGACGCUAACUUUGAUUAAAUAGAUCAAAGUG
RNAcentral lists this long non-coding RNA (46403 nucleotides) under Ananas comosus (pineapple). Its description in RNAcentral is "long non-coding RNA (ACOM_LNC016519)". The stretch from base 24833 to 25045 matches the Rfam family "Early nodulin 40". The record is from RNAcentral. Lineage: Eukaryota; Viridiplantae; Streptophyta; Magnoliopsida; Poales; Bromeliaceae.